Molecule: long non-coding RNA, 48784 nt
Filed under: Zea mays
Lineage: Eukaryota; Viridiplantae; Streptophyta; Magnoliopsida; Poales; Poaceae
Description: long non-coding RNA (ZMAY_LNC001293)
Source: RNAcentral
UCAGGCGAGGCCAGGUCGUGAAGAUCAUCAGGCCCAGCGAGACGGCGGGCAGAUACGUUACAUACCGCUACGUUGUAUGACAGAACGUCAGAACACUGAAGAAGAAGAGAACCACAGAUAUGUCAAAAAAACUCAGCUAAUUUAAGAGAUAUAACUAACAAUUAUAUGGUUUAUUGGCUGGUCUGUUCUGAACCACUCAGCUAAUUUUAGCUGCUAACCGUUAGUUUGAGGUUUGCUUUUGGCAUGAAUUCUUCUUCUUGCGUAACAAGGACAAAUAUUGGCAUGAAGCAAAAAAGGCUAUUCAAAAAUCAGUUAUUCUUUGCCAACAAUCACACAAGAAAAGAUGAAUCCAUAAACAUUUAAAGAACACUAUAAUAUAGAUAGUAAUACUAACCUUGGUAGCUCUUCCUUUAAUUGUAGAUUCUCCAUUACAAUUUUUGUAAUUUUCGGAUUACGAUCUAAUUGACCCCGUUAGACUUCUAAUUCCUUUACAAGGUUUUCCUUCUCUUGUAAAAGAUAUGAUUCAACAGGUAACUUCCUUGAAACAACCUGCUCCAGUCUUUUGAUCCGUUCUUCACGAUACUUAGGCCUCAUCUUGAAGCUGCUUACCUCUUCUGUCUUUUUGAGCUGCCUGUGUGAGAACAUAAUAUUUAAAUCAGCAAACACAGACAUAGCCGAUUGGCCGAUUGAAGGGUGCUGGUAUCGGCGGAUUGGAGGAUGGCGGGAUUGAGAGCCGGGGCAGGGGCAAGGCAGAUUUGGGGCGAGCUUUGCGGCCGCUCCUUCCAUGCAUAGCGUGGGCGAGCUCAGGUGGCACUGCAAUUCAUGAUCACAAGGUUAUUCUGCUAUUCUGAAUGUGUUUCUUUCCCACCACCACGAUGCUUUAUUAAAAAAAACUUAAAAAAAGGUCGGUUCAGGAAUCCUUCAUCAAAUCUUGAAGAUGAUGUGUGGGAAUGAAGAUGUAGUAUAAGGUGUCAUUUAGUUGUGCAAGGCCGCGUGGAGUGUCAGCUGGGGAUUUGGACCAUUUUUUAAUUGUUAACUGGGUCAGGUCAAAACUUAUGCUAGACAUGAAUUAACGUUAAGCAGACCCAAACAAGAUAUCUCAAAUGGUCAUAGAAUGGAAUUGCUGGUAAUAUUAAUUCAAAGUGAUUAAAAUAGCAAACCUGAACAUUUCUUUCCUCCAUUAGAAUCUCAUUCGCCUUCUCACACAAAACCCUUACUUGUAGCACAUAAAUUGCAGGGGAUCGAAGCCUCCAAUUCAGUACUACAAAUCAUCACAAUCUUGAACUGAAGAGGAGGGUUAACGGACUUUUAGAAACAUCCAUUCCCAUCUAGUAUUUCUAUCCGGUACUGUAAAUAAUCGUAAUACUCAACUGAAGCCAAAUAAUUAGCUGUCGAUCAGAAACAUGCUCCCAUCCAGUGUACUGCUUUCCUAGUGAUAAGGCAAACAGAACAGCUGCUACAAGUAUUCAGUUUUCAAUUUCAGUUCAACAAGUAUUCCAACAUUAUGCACAUGCAUAUACCUGUUAAGAUGUUUAAAAUUCAAGUUAUAUCAUGGUGAUAUGUAAAUCAGCGAAGUAUUGAUGUAGAGAUCAAAUAAAUGAGGCAAUGCAACUUUACUGAAACUGGAAUUUUAGACCAACGUGCUGACUACUGAACAAGAAAAAAUGAACUGUAUGAAUAAAUCAUGCUACAAAAGUUGUGAAUCAUAAGACAAUAUGUUAAUUAAAUCAUGCUACAAAUGAUAGUGCAGUCCUUUAUUUAAUAAAAAAUAGAAAGCUUUCAUGUAUCAUUACCAUGCAGUGUAAUCAGAUUGAUGAAAUAGGCAUUAUACAUAAAAUUCAACAUCAAUUACACUAACCUUACUAUAAGGUGUAGAGGACGAUGCUCCACCCAGCCUGCUCAGCUCUCUCCCUCCAAGCAGCAAAAGCACGGCUUGGACCUACGGACGAAACCAAUAGCUCUCAUCAAUCUUGCGAAUUGAAUUGACUACAAGCAGAGAAAACAAGUUCACAUCUAUAGAGGGUAGAAGAGGAGGGGGGCAUUUUAGGGGAGACAAAGAGAACCAACACUGUGCGAGUCCAUCUGCCUGGAAUGCAACUCGCCAUGGAAAAAGAGGGUGAGCUGGUUGGUCGCCAUGGGCGGCACAACCCCAGCCACGAGGUGUUCCACAGAUGGGGCAACGACGGCGAGGGGCGGGGCGGCGAUCCCAUCUGCCGGUUGCAGGUGCUGACCGGGCCUCCACCAAUGGGGCAACGACGGCGAGAGCGGGGCAGCGAUCCCAUCCACCGGCUGCUGGUGUCGAUCGGGCCCCAUCACGGCUAGUACGACUUGUUUCCAUCGUUGUUGGACGUGACGAGAUCAGAUCGAACAAUAGGAUGUGGGGUGAAGGGUAACCCUAUGUGGGAGAGCAGUGGGCGACGAGCGGCGCGUGCGGAGAGAGGGAGAGGAGGGGUUGUGAGCGCGUGGAGAGAGGGAGAGGAGGGGUCGUGAGGGCGGCCUGUCUAUGGAGAACGCCCUGAGGCGUGGUCACCGGUGAGGGCGCACGCGGCGGCUCGUGGAGAGAGCGACGACGGGGAGGAAGAGUGGCGGCCACAGCCUAACGAAGCCGGAAAGGAGGUGGCGGUGGGAGAGAACCUGUGCGGGGGAAGAAGGGGGUGACGGGGGCGCGGGCAGAAGCACGGGUCAAGGAUGGACGGGCGCGGCAAUGCGGCGCAAAUUUGGGCAUCGGGAGAGGGAGCGAGGGAUGGCGUGACGUGCGGGAGGUCGCGAGCGAGAGCCGGGGGCACGGCGUCUGUGGACGCCCUCACUGUAUGUAGUAGAGAUCUAUAAUUUCUAAAAUAUUUUUAACUAUUCCUUAAAGAAACUCCUACGUACACUAUAACUCCUUUUUUAUAUAAUACAUAUAAAAAAUCUUAUACUAAUUUAUAGUAACAUAAUACACAAUACUAUCUUAUUACAGGAUACAAUUAAGGUUAAAAAUGACUUAAUUAAUGUAUAGAGGACAUAUUGCUCCUACACUUAUACAAUAAAAUUCUGCCUCCCUAUACAUAUACGUCCUGAUGGAUGGCUGCGCGUGGACGUGCAGGCUCCGCCGUGCUUGCCGGUCGGAUACAGACAUUUGGCGCGUACCGGCAGAUACCCGGUUUAUUUUGCAUCUGUCUAUGCAACAUGCAUCUCUCAUAUGCAGUCAACCAAACACAAAUUUAAAUAAAGUCAACAUAUAUGGUGGUCCAAAAUAAGAUGAUACAGAUAGCCAAUCAGGCAGAUAUAGAAAGAGCAUUUACAGUUACCCGUUGUGGUACAAUAGCUAUGGUAUGUUUUUUUAAGGCAGCUGUAGCCAAAAUCGUUGAAGGUAGUCUCAUAAUCAACAGUUCCACAGAGUUGUGCAAAUUUAAUGGCCUCUUAUACAUUUUACUCUAACGGGGCAUUUGGAUCCAUUCAUUUAUGGGUGGCGGAUGAGAAAUGAUUUUAUGUAUUAGUAGAAUUUGUUUAUACUCUGUAACUUACAUGACACCAUUCGUCUCAGUCCUCUAUAGUAAAAAUGUAGCACAUAAAUAUCUGUAACAUUUUGCUAAUAAUAGUAUACAAAUAUAUUUUGUAUAAAAUCGAAUUAGCUUAAUUGAUAUAUGACUGAAUUAUUAUUAUUAGAAUGAAAUUUAAUUUCAAUGAUCUAAACCAGGUGUAAGAUAAAAAAAAAACUCUCUCCGUAUAUUCGAUAGAAGGGGCUAGCUCGUUCUCUAGCUAUGAACGCUACAUCCUUCUAUCCACAUAUACGAUUCAUCAUUGUUCUCAAUAUUUUUGUCUACCUAUUUUAUGGCAUGAGAAGAGUACCGAUAUCAACUGUAAUACGUCCUGUCUGGAUGCUGUUUGGUUCACACGUUAUUAAAAGAAUAAUAAUAGGAUUUUUUUAGCGGCGGUAAUGAUUACUAGUUAUAAUUAGAUUGGAUUGUAGUACCUAGUUCUAUCAAUAAAAACUUAACCAAACAAAAGUAUCGGUAUCUAUUAACCAAACAAAAGUAUCCUUCGUUUUUUGGAAAUGACGGAGAUCAUUAUUAAAUGUGGGAGACAAAUGUGUCGACACCUAUCUUGCCUCUCUAGAUUGCAAAGGGGUCCAAAACUAGGGAUGUCAAUGGGUACGGGUAUGGGUAAAUAACCGCGGAUAAUUAUCCAUUUGAUAUGGGUAUGGUGGAAUUUGAUAUCCGCGGGUACGGUUAUGGAUAUAAUAAGGUAUCCGCGGAUAUUUUUUUCGCGGGUAUGGAUAUCCAGUAUCUAUACCCGUUACCCAAUUGAUAUCUAACAUGUGGGCCAUCCAUAUUUAUAUAUUAUCAUAAAUUCUUAUUUAUCAAUUUUUAUCCAUAACAUGUUGUUUGGUGCUGAAAUUAUCAUUUAAUGCUAUUGGAAUGAUGAUUAUCUUGAAAUGUAAUAAAAUUGUUGUUUAGUGUUUAAUGCUAAAAUUGUAGUGGGCGGGCGGGUAACGGGUAUCCACUGGAUAGCGGAUACCCGGCGGUUACGGGUAUGGAUACAGAUCCAUACCCACGAACGUUUAUGGGUACGGAUAUGGGUUAAGUUUUGUCUCGCGGGUAUAGAUUUGCGAACUAUAUAUCCGUGUACUACCCGCGCGAUUGCCAUCCCUAUCCAAAACAAAGUCUUAGGUAUGAGUGCUUUAAGCUCUCUUAUCGGGUCAUUGAUAAAUGCAAUCGAGGCUGAACCAAUAAUCGCAAAAUGAAAGUCACGAGCUUGAAGUUCGGACAUUUAUGGGCACUAUUGAAAUAAUGUGUGGUAAAUGUGAUGGUUCAAGUAGUCUUGUGAGAGACCCACCUGUCGGGGACCAUAAUUAGGGGUACCCUCAAGACUCCUAAUUCUCAGCUGGUAACCCCCAUCAGCACAAAGCUGCAAAGGCCUGAUGGGUGCGACUAAGUCAGGGAUCGGUCCAUUCGAGGGACUCGAUCACGCCUCGCCCGAGCCCAGCCUUGGGCAAGGGCAGCCGACUCCGGAGGAUCUACGCCUCGCCCGAGACCCCCCUCCAGCGACGAACAUACUUCCGGCUCGCCCGAGGCCCAGUCUUCGCCAGAGCCAAAGUGACCGCAGUCACUUCGCCGCUCCACUGACCGGCCUGACAGAAGGACAGCGCCGCCUGCGCCGCUCCGACUGCUGUGCCACUUGACAGAGUGAGGCUGACAGGCAGCCAGGCCCGGCCUCGGGCACCAUAGGAAACUCCGCUCCGCCCGACCCAGGGCUCGGACUCGGGCUCAGCCCCGGAAGACGGCGAACUCCUCUCCGCCCGACCCAGGGCUCGGACUCGGGCUCAGCCCCGGAAGACGGCGAACUCCGCUCCGCCCGACCCAGGGCUCGGACUCGGGCUCAGCCCCGGAAGACGGCGAACUCCGCUCCGCCCGACCAAGGGCUCGGACUCGGGCUCGGCCCCAGAAGACGGCGAACUCCGCUCCGCCCGACCCAGGGCUCGGACUUGGGCUCAGCCCCGGAAGACGACGAACUCCGCUCCGCCCGACCCCAGGGCUCGGACUCAGGCUCAGCCCCUGAAGACGACGAACUCCGCUUCGCCCGACCCCAGGGCUUGGACUCAACCCUGGCCUCCGCCGGUGGUCUCCGCCUCGCCCGACCCAGGGGCUCGGACUCGACCUCGGCCUCGGAAGACAGACUCGACCUCGACCCCGGAGGAGCCUCCACAUCGCCCAACCUAGGGCACGGACCGACCACGUCAACAGGAGGCACCAUCAUUACCCUACCCCAAGCUGACUCAGGCUACGGGGAACAAGUCCGGCGUCCCAUCUGGCUCGCUCCGCUAGACAAGUAAUGAUGGCGCCCCGCACGCUCUAUGACGACGGCGACUCUCAGCCCCCUUACGGAAGCAAGAGGACGUCAACAAGGACUCGACAGCCCCGACAACUGUCCUUCCGCCAGGCUCCAGCGCUCCUCCGACGGCCACGACACCAUACGAACCGGGUGCCAAAACCUCUCCGGCUGCCACAAUGGCAUGUACUUAGGGCGCUAGCUCUCCUUUGCUAGACACGUUAGCACUCUGCUACACCCCCCAUUGUACACCUGGAUCCUCUCCUUACGCCUAUAAAAGGAAGGACCAGGGCCCUCUUACAGAGGGUUGGCCGCGCAGGGAAGAGGACGGGACAAGCGCUCGCGUGAGGCCGCUCGCUCCCCUCCCGCGUGGACGCUUGUAACCCCCUACUGCAAGCGCACCCGACCUGGGCGCGGGACAAACACGAAGGCCGCGGGAUUUCCACCUCUCUCUCGCUCCGGCUGUCCUUUCCCCCCCUUCGCGCUCCGUCUCGCGCCGACCCAUCUGGGCUGGGGCACGCGGCGACAUUUCACUCGUCGGCCCAGGGACCCCCCCAGUCUCGAAACGCCGACAGUUGGCGCGCCAGGUAGGGGCCUGCUGCGUGUUGACGAACAGCUUCCCGUCAAGCUCCAGAUGGCAGUCUCCAGCAACCUUUCCAGCCCGGGACAGUGCUCCGUUUCGGGAGUCUUGAGUUCAUGUCCCUUGACGGCAGCUACGACAUGAUACUCCUUCCCCCGUCGUGCGACAGCGACAAUGGCGGCCGACAGCCCGCCCGCUGGCGGCGGAAUCGACGACGUCUUCCCCGCGUGGGGGAAGAACAACAUUCGAGCUCACCCUGCCCUCUCCCCCGCCGACGGAGGAGGAGGCGGGGAAACCAAGGCCAAGCAGGAGGCGGCACCUCGUCGGCUGUCGAGCGAGUCGACGGCGCCGGCGCCCCAACGGGGGCACGUCGGGCAUCGACCUCGCGUUUGAGACGAAGACGAGCGCCGUCUCCCCGCAACACGCCAAUUCCAAGCAAACGGACGACACUAGCACGCUCGCGAAAGGCUUGCUUGGCGUCACCCUCGUACCUGAGACGACGGUGCAGUCAGUCCCUGACGUGACUUCGUCACCGCCCGUCGACCAAGAGGUACCCACCGAUUCCCAUCUCACGCCCUUUGGAUUCAGCCUCGACCCGCCAAGCGACUUCGCUUUGGUGGACGCUCUCGUAGAGGCGAGUCCAAACCCUCUGGGGUUUCAUAUGCGGUCACCCUGGGACCGGCUGACGGACGUCUCGACCUACGGGCCCUCGGGGUCCGAGGAAGAUGACGUGUCCGACUUCUAUUGGGAUUUCUCCGGACUUGGUAACCCUAGUGCCAUGCGGGACUUCAUGACCGCAUGCGACUACUGCCUUUCCGACUGUUCCGACGGUAGCCGCAGCCUCGGCGACGAGGACUGCGGCCCAAGUCGUGAAUGUUUCCACGUCGAUCUAGGGGGUCCCUCCGAAGGCAACCAUCUUGGUAUGCCGGAGAACGGUGAUCUCUCUAGGCCUGUGCCUCGCGUUGACAUCCUACGGGAGCUAGCUGUGGUCCCCGUUCAGGCGGGGGGUCAUGACCCACAGCUCGAGCAAAUCCGCGGGGUGCAGGCCAGGCUCGACGAGGGAGCAGGAACACUUGAGCCGAUCCGCCGGGACAUCGGGCAGGAAUGGGCGGGCAAACCUCCGGCCGGAGAAGUGCGUCAUCUACCCCAGGGUAUCCAGCACCGCAUCGCCGACGAUGUCAGGGUGAGGCCGCCACCCGCUUCCAGUGGAGUUGGCCAGAACCUGGCUGCAGCGGCAAUGCUUCUCCGCGCUAUGCCGGAGCCAUCAACCACCGAGGGGCGCGAAUCCAGGGAGAGCUCAAGAAUCUCCUGGAGGGCGCCGCGGUCCGACGGGCCAAGAGCUCCACCUCCCGAAGGUAGGGGUACCCCUCGGAACAUCGCGCCGCGACUUCCCGAUUCAUGCGGGAAGCCUCGGUCCACACCGGGCGCACGCGCGACACACGCAACGAGCACCAUCACCGCAACCGUCGGGCCCAACUCGACGAAAGGGUGCGCCGAGGCUACCACCCCAGGCGUGGGGGACGCUACGACAGCGGGGAGGAUCGGAGUCCCUCGCCCGAACCACCCGGUUCGUAGGCUUUCAGCCGCGCCAUACGACGGGCGCCGUUCCAGACCCGGUUACGAACCCCGACUACUAUCACAAAGUACUCGGGGGAGACGACACCAGAACUGUGGCCCGUAGACUACCGGCUGGCCUGCCAACUGGGUGGAACGGACGACGACAACCUCAUCAUCCGCAACCUCCCCCUGUUCCUCUCCGACACCGCUCGCGCCUGGUUGGAGCACCUGCCUCCGGGGCAGAUCUCCAACUGGGACGACCUGGUCCAAGCCUUCGCUGGCAAUUUCCAGGGCACGUAUGUGCGCCCUGGGAACUCCUGGGACCUCCAAAGCUGCCGACAGCAGCCGGGAGAGUCUCUCCGGGACUACAUCCGGCGAUUCUCGAAGCAGCGCACCGAGCUGCCCAACAUCACCGAUUUAGAUGUCAUCGGCGCGUUCCUCGCCGGCACCACUUGCCGCGACCUGGUCAGCAAGCUGGGUCGAAAGACCCCCACUAGGGCGAGCGAGCUGAUGGACAUCGCCACCAAGUUCGCCUCUGGCCAGGAGGCGGUUGAGGCUAUCUUCCGGAAGGACAAGCAGUCCCAGGGCCGCCCACCGGAAGAUGCCCCCGAGGCGUCAACUCAGCGCGGCGCCAAGAAGAAAGGCAAGAAGAAGUCGCAAGCGAAAUACGACGCCGCCGACGCGAACCUUGUCGCCGCCGUCGAGCACAAGAACCCUCGGAAACCCCCCGGAGGUGCCAACCUCUUCGACAAGAUGCUCAAGGAGCCGUGCCCCUAUCAUCAGGGCCCCGUCAAGCACACCCUUGAGGAGUGCGCUAUGCUUCGGCGCCACUUCCACAGGGCCGGGCCACCCGCGGAGGGUGGCAGGGCUCGCGACGACGACAAGAAGGAAGGUCACCAGGCAGGAGAGUUCCCCGAGGUCCGCGACUGCUUCAUGAUCUACGGUGGGCAAGCGGCGAACGCCUCGGCUUGGCACCGCAAGCAAGAGCGUCGGGAGGUCUGUUCGGUAAAGGUGGCGGCGCCAGUCUACCUAGACUGGUCCGACAAGCCCAUCACCUUCGACCAAGCCGACCACCCCGACCACGUGCCGAGCCCGGGGAAAUAUCCGCUCGUUGUCGACCCCAUCAUCGGCGACGUCAGGCUCACCAGGGUCCUCAUGGACGGAGGCAGCGGCCUCAACAUCAUCUAUGUCGAGACCCUCGGGCUCCUGCGUGUUGAUCUGUCCUCGGUCCGGGCAGGCGCUGCGCCUUUCCACGGGAUCAUCCCCGAGAAGCGCGUCCAGCCCCUCGGACAACUCGACCUUCCCGUCUGCUUCGGAACACCCUCCAACUUCCGAAGGGAGACCCUCACGUUCGAGGUGGUCGGGUUCCGAGGAACCUACCACGCAGUAUUGGGGAGGCCAUGCUACGCGAAGUUCAUGGCCGUCCCCAACUACACCUACCUCAAGCUCAAGAUGCCAGGCCCCAACGGGGUCAUCACCGUCGGCCCCACGUACCGACACGCGUUCGAAUGCGACGUCGAGUGCGUGGAGUACGCCGAGGCCCUCGCCGAGUCCGAGGCCCUCAUCGCCGACCUGGAGAGCCUCUCUAAGGAGGUGCCAGACGUAAAGCGCCACGCCGGCAACUUCGAGCCAGCGGAGACGGUUAAGUUCGUCCCCCUCGACCCUAGCAGCGACGCCUCCAAGCAGAUCCGGAUCGGCUCCGAGCUCGACCCCAAAUAGGAAGCAGUGCUCGUCGACUUUCUCCGCGCAAACGCCGACGUUUUCGCGUGGAGUCCCUCGGACAUGCCUGGCAUACCGAGGGAUGUCGCCGAGCACUCGCUGGAUAUCUGAGCUGGAGCCCGACCCGUCAAGCAGCCUCUGCGCCGAUUCGACGAAGAAAAGCGUAGAGCCAUAGGCGAGGAGAUCCACAAGCUAAUGGCGGCAGGGUUCAUCAAAGAGGUAUUCCAUCCCGAAUGGCUUGCCAACCCUGUGCUUGUGAGAAAGAAAGGAGGGAAAUGGCGGAUGUGUGUAGACUACACUGGUCUAAACAAAGCAUGUCCGAAGGUUCCCUACCCUCUGCCUUGCAUCGAUCAAAUCGUGGAUUCCACUGCUGGGUGCGAAACCCUGUCUUUCCUCGAUGCCUACUCAGGGUAUCACCAAAUCAGGAUGAAAGAGUCCGACCAGCUCGCGACUUCUUUCAUCACACCCUUCGGCAUGUACUGCUACGUCACCAUGCCGUUCAGCUUGAGGAAUGCGGGUGCGACGUACCAGCGGUGCAUGAACCAUGUGUUCGGCGAACACAUUGGCCGAACGGUCAAGGCCUACGUCGAUGACAUCGUAGUCAAGACGAGGAAAGCCUCCGACCUCCUUUCCGACCUUGAAGCGACAUUCCGAUGUCUCAAGGCGAAAGGCGUGAAGCUUAAUCCCGAGAAGUGUGUCUUUGGGGUUCCCCGAGGCAUGCUCUUGGGGUUCAUUGUCUCCGAGCGGGGCAUCGAGGCCAACCCGGAGAAGAUCGCGGCCAUCACCAGCAUGGGGCCCAUCAAGGACUUGAAAGGCGUACAGAGAGUCAUGGGAUGUCUCGCGGCUCUGAGCCGUUUCAUCUCACGCCUCGGCGAAAGAGGCCUGCCUCUGUACCGCCUCUUAAGGAAGGUCGAGUGCUUCACUUGGACCCCUGAGGCCGAGGAAGCCCUCGGGAACCUGAAAGGGAAAUGUGCCCUUGGGCCAUUUCUAAGUAUUUUGAUGAUUGAGUGCCAACACAAGUGCUUAAAUGUGAAAUCAUGCUUGUGGAUGGACAAAGUGCAAAUCAAGAGCAAAGGUAUGUUUCUAUGUCUUAGUACAUUGGUUUUGUGUACUAAUAUACUUGUCUAAGUAUUGGAAACAGGAAGAAAAAGAAAAGAAAAGAGUUGGCUGUGUACAGACAAGGGGCUGUUUCGGUCUGGGGCACCGGACUGUCCGGUGGUGCACCGGACUGUCCGGUGGUGCACCGGACAGUGUCCGGUGCGCCAGGCUGCCUCGGCCGAAGAGGCCGCUCUCGGGAAUUUUGCUGACGGCGUACGGCUAAAAUUCACCGGACUGUCCGAUGUGCACCGGACUGUCCGGUGAGUCAACGGUCGCCAGGGCCAACGGUCGGCCGCGGAUUCUGCGCGCGACACGUGGCCAAGCCAACGGUCGGAAGGGGGCACCGGACUGUCCGGUGUGCACCGGACAUGUCCGGUGCGCCAACGGCUCCCAGAUCUGCAACGGUCGGCUUCGCCAUUUAAGGAAAGGAAUCGGGCACCGGACACUGUCCGGUGUGCACCGGACUGUCCGGUGCGCCCGAUGACAGAAGGCAAGGAUGGCUUUCCUGAUUUGUUCUCAACGGCUCCUAGCUGCCUUGGGGAUAUAAAAGGGACCCCUAGGCGCAUGGAGGAAGACACCAAGCAUUUCUACAACAUUCUUAAGCACCAAGACAUCGCUCUCGCGCAUUCGUUUCAUUGUGAUAGCAUCUAGAGCUCUUGUUGAGUUGCGAACUCUUUGAGUUGUGUUGCGAGCUCUUGUUGCAACUUGUGUGCGCGUUGUUGCUCUGAUCUUUUGAAGUCUUGUGUGCGUUGCUCAUUCCCCCUUUGCUCUGUGUUCUUUGUGAACUUCAAUUGUAAGGGCGAGAGGCUCCAAGUUGUGGAGAUUCCUCGCAAACGGGAUUGAGAAAAAGCAAGCAAAACACCGUGGUAUUCAAGUGGGUCUUUGGACCACUUGAGAGGGGUUGAUUGCAACCCUCGUCCGUUGGGACGCCACAACGUGGAGUAGGCAAGCGUUGGUCUUGGCCGAACCACGGGAUAAACCACUGUGUCAACUCUGUGAUUGAUCUCUUGUGGUAUUGUGUUUUGUUGUGACUCCUUUCUAGCCACUUGGCAUUUAUUGUGCUAACACUUAACAAGUUUUUGUGGCUAUAAGUUUAAGUUAUACAGGAUCACCUAUUCACCCCCCCCUCUAGGUGCUCUCAGAACCUGAAGGCGCUCCUCACCAACGCGCCCAUCUUGGUGCCUCCCGCUGCCGGAGAAGCCCUCUUGAUCUACGUCGUCGCGACCACUCAGGUGGUUAGCGCCGCGAUUGUGGUUGAGAGACGGGAAGAGGGGCAUGCAUUGCCCGUCCAGAGGCCAGUCUACUUCAUCAGCGAGGUACUGUCUAAGACCAAGAUCCGCUACCCACAAAUUCAGAAGCUGCUGUACGCGGUGAUCCUGACGCGACGGAAGUUGCGACACUACUUCGAGUCUCAUCCGGUAACUGUGGUAUCAUCCUUCCCCCUGGGGGAGAUCAUCCAGUGCCGAGAGGCCUCGGGUAGAAUCGCAAAGUGGGCGGUGGAAAUUAUGGGCGAAGCGAUCUCGUUCGCCCCUCGGAAGGCCAUCAAGUCCCAGGUCUUGGCGGAUUUCGUGGCUGAAUGGGUCGACACCCAGCUCCCAACAGUUCCGAUCCAAUCGGAACUCUAGACCAUGUUCUUCGACGGGUCGCUGAUGAAGACAGGAGCAGGCGCAGGCCUGCUCUUCAUCUCGCCCUCGGAAAGCAUCUACGCUACGUGCUACGCCUCCACUUCCCGGCGUCCAACAAUAAGGCUGAGUACGAGGCUCUGGUCAACGGGUUGCGCAUCGCCAUCGAGCUAGGGGUCCAACGCCUCGACGCUCGCGGUGACUCGCAACUCGUCAUCGACCAAGUCAUGAAGAACUCCCACUGCCGCGACCCGAAGAUGGAGGCCUACUGCGAUGAGGUUCGGCGCCUGGAAGACAAGUUCUACGGGCUCGAGCUCAACCACAUCGCCCGGCGCUACAACGAGACUACGGACGAGCUGGCUAAAAUAGCCUCGGGGCGAACAACGGUUCCCCCGGACGUCUUCUCCUGAGACCUACAUCAACCCUCCGUCAAGAUCGACGACACGCCCGAGCCCGAGGCACCCUCGGCCCAGCCCGAGGUACCCUUGGCUCAGUCCGAGGCACCCUCGGCUCGGCCCGAGGCACCCUCAGCUCGGCCCGAGCCACCCUCGGUUCAGCCCGAGGUACCCUCGGCCCCCGAGGGGAGGCACUGCGCGUCGAGGAGGAGCGAAGCGGGGUCACGCCUAAUCGAAACUGGCAGACCCCGUACCUGCGAUAUCUCCACCGAGGAGAGCUACCCCUCGACCGAGCCGAAGCUCGGCGGUUGGCGCGACGCGCCAAGUCGUUCGUCUUGCUGGGGGAUGGGAAGGAGCUCUACCACCGCAGCCCCUCAGGCAUCCUCCAGCGAUGCAUCCCCAUCGCCGAAGGUCAGGAGCUCCUACGAGAGAUACACUCGGGGGCUUGCGGCCAUCACGCAGCACCUCGAGCCCUUGUUGGAAACGCCUUCCGACAAGGUUUCUACUGGCCGACGGCGGUGGCCGACGCCACUAGAAUUGUCCGCACCUGCGAAGGGUGUCAGUUCUACGCGAGGCAGACCCACCUGCCCGCUCAGGCUCUGCAGAUGAUACCCAUCACCUGGCCUUUUGUUGUGUGGGGUCUGGACCUCGUCGGCCCCUUGCAGAAGGCACCCGGGGGCUACACGCACCUGUUGGUCGCCAUCGACAAAUUCUCCAAGUGGAUCGAGGUCCGACCCCUAAACAGCAUCAGGUCCGAACAGGCGGUGGCGUUCUUCACCAACAUCAUCCAUCGUUUUGGGGUCCCGAACUCCAUCAUCACCGAGAACGGCACCUAGUUCACCGGCAGAAAGUUCCUGGACUUCUGCGAGGAUCACCACAUCCGGGUGGACUGGGCCGCCGUGGCUCACCCCAUGACGAAUGGGCAAGUAGAGCGUGCCAACGGUAUGAUUCUACAAGGACUCAAGUCUCAGAUCUACAACGACCUCAACAAGUUCGGCAAGCGAUGGAUGAAGGAACUCCCCUCGGUGGUCUGGAGUCUGAGGACAACGCCGAGCCGAGCCACGGGCUUCACGCCGUUCUUUGUAGUCUAUGGGGUCGAGGCCAUCCUACCCACAGACUUAGAAUACGGCUCCCCGAGGACGAGGGCCUACGCCGACCAAAGCAACCAAGCUAGUCGAGAAGACUCGCUGGACCAGCUGGAAGAGGCUCGGGACAUGGCCUUACUACACUCGGCGCGGUACCAGCAGUCCCUGCGAUGCUACCACGCCCGAGGGGUCCGGUCCCGAGACCUCCAGGUGGGCGACCUGGUGCUUCGGCUGCGACAGGAGCCCGAGGGCGGCACAAGCUCACGCCUCCCUGGGAAGGGUCGUUCGUCAUCGCCAAAGUUCUGAAGCCCGGAACGUACAAGCUGGCCAACAGUCAAGGCGAGGUCUACAGCAACGCUUGGAACAUCCAACAGCUAUGUCGCUUCUACCCUUAAGAUGCUUUCAAGUUGUUCAUAUACCUCGCUCCCACGCAAAGUUUAGUCAUCAAGGAACGGUUAGCCUUGCCUCGGCAAAGCCCGACCCUCCCUCGGGGGCUAAAAGGGGGGAACCCCCUCUGCGUCGAAAUUUUCCUCGAAAAAAGAUCCUUUCUGCCAGGAUGUUUUUCGUGCUUUUCGACUACUUCGAAAGUGGAUCCUGAAAACGACGGGGUACACGUAAGCAGCCAAGGCUGACCGAGCCGAGGGACUCCUACGCCUCCGGGAUACGGAUACCUCACUCAUCACCUUCUGCGAUAAGUAACUCGCGUCCGGAUAAGUGAUUCCGCGGACCGAACAAGUCUUCGCGCUCGAAAGCUCCUAUGCCGAAGCGAUUCUUCGGGCCUUCUCGACUGCGUCGGUGACAGGACCCUAUGGACGGGCAAGAGUGCGCGUAAGCGGCAAGGCCGACCGAGCCGAGGGAUUCCUACGCCUCCGGGAUACGGAUACCUCACUCAUCACCUUCCGUGAAAAGCAACUCUCGCUCGCACAGACAAAUCUGUUACCGACGAAAAAGUCCAGAUACUCGAAACAAGAGGAAAAGAAACGCAACUUUACAACACGACGAUGGCGUGUUUGGGCCUCGGCGGCCGCAGAAAACACACGCUACAAGAUAAUCUGAUCCUGCAGGCUCGGACCUCGAUAGUUGAAGGGAGCAGCAGCACCCUCGGCGUCGACUACACCUUCGGCGAGGUCCGACCUAGCCUCGGACGGCGACGCGGUCUGAGGAUCUCCACUCUGAAGGACGACGUCAUCAUCACGCCCGGGCCAUCGCCGCCAGGGUCUCCUCCAAGAAUCCGGCUCAAGCAGGCGGCUCGGCUGGUCACCCCGAGGCCUCGGCCAGCUGUCCCCCGAAGACAUCAGCCCGGCCCGAGGCCUCGGCAGAUCAACUCCGGCGUCGGUCCCGCUAACGGACGACCCGGCCAGGCUCCGGCCGACCAAGUCUUCUUUUCGAGCCAACUCUGCCUCUAUCCGUGCUGACACCGCUACCCCUGGCUUUGGCUCAUCGAAGGGCGGUCGAGGGGUUCCUUUAACUAAGCAAGAGAAGCCUCGGACAGCAAGGCCGACCGAGCCGAGGGACUCCUACGCCUCCGAGAUACGGAUACCUCACUCGUCACCUUUGCACGGGGCGACUCACGCUUGGUGAAGCGGUUCAGACAACCAACAGGCGAGUCUUAGUGCUCGAAAAUGAGGAAAAAACACGGCUCCGCGCCAAAAAUACAUACACGUUCAGGCCCCGACAGCCACAAUGAACAAAAGACCGGCAUUCAAGGUGCCAUUACAAAUGGAACUCCGGUUCCACCUCCGCAGGUACGAACAACCCCACACGAUUGGGGGGCCUGCGGAGCAACAGAAGACCGACGAACAGCUCGCCGUCGCCCGCUCCAGCAGCAGCGACGACGACGACUUUUGCUCCGGGGGGCCGAACAGCAGCAGCGAUGACCUCAGCGCGGAUGCUGCUGCCAUGAGGCCCUCGCCCGUGCCCUUACUCGUGAGGCAAGGACGGGCAGAAGGCCGUAGAGUUGGAGGUCGGUCCGUGGGCGGCCCCGGCUAUCUCGUCGGCGGAAGAACCUCUUCCAGCUGCCGUGGCGGAAGGCGACGCCGGGAGCGGCUCCGAAGCCACUCGGGUCAGAGAGCCAGGCACGCGGCAGCUGCCAACGCCACGAACGACGAACGCCUUUCCCCCCGAUCACUGAGGGAAGGAGCGGGCCGUCGCCCGCGCAGGGGCCGACCCCAACUCGGCACACUCCUCUCCCCAGCACUGAUGAUGAAAAUCCUUGAGGCUGAGGGAGGGGCAGAGGCCGCAGCCCGGCUUGCUUUCCCCUGCCAUCGAACUGGAGGUCACCGUCUUGGGUGACCGCCGACGGAGGGGUGCGGCCGUGCUGCAUGAUGAAAAUCCUUGAAGCCGAACGAUGGCUGAAAGGUACCAACUCCCACGGAGUUGCGUUCCUCCAACGACAAGGCAGAAGAAUUGCGGGUGUCCCCCAUCCGGGGGCUCGGAAGGUGGAAAGACACGAUGCAUAAGGGAGCGCGGAGACAUGGUCGCCUUUCAAGGGGGUCACCCUCCUUUUAAAGGCGACUCUCCCUACUUGCGUCCCCAGCCGUCGUGGGCUGAGUCUUCUCCAACACGCUCCAAGGUCAUCCCCCUACGGCGCGGGGGCUGGGUCCCACGCGUCAUGCAAACUGGCCCAGAGCAGAAGAAGCCAAACCGCCGCGCGCGGUGCAUGCAACUGCCCAGCGGUUACGAGCAUUCCUCCGCUUUCGCCCAGACCAGCGGGCGAAAGGGCGGGCAGCCAUGCAGGCGGCAUGCAACCGCGCCAAGUGGGUGCGCCCCUCCGACUUCCAACGCACCCAGCAUGGGGGCCCUGAAAGGGAAAUGUGCCCUUGGGCCAUUUCUAAGUAUUUUGGUGAUUGAGUGCCAACACAAGCGCUUUUGUGUUGAUCUAUGCAAUGUGGUAGACAAAGUGCAAAUCAUGUCAAAAGGUACGUUUCUAGACUUAGUACAUUGUUUUAUGGACUAAUGUAUUGUGUCUAAGUGCUGGAAACAGGAAAGAUUGAAUUGGAAAUGAGAUGGCUAUGUUCUGCCAGAGUCAGCUCGGUCUGGGUGCACCGGACAGUGUCCGGUGCGCCAGACUGGCUCUUGCGAACUCGCUGCUCUCGGGAUUUCAUCGACGGCGUACGGCUAUAAUUCACCGGACUGUCCGGUUAGCCAACGGUCAGCCGGGCCAACGGUCGGCCACGCGAUCCGCGCAGGACACGUGGCCGAGCCAACGGUUAGUAGGGGGCACCGGACUGUCCGGUGUGCACCGGACAGUGUCCGGUGCGCCAACGGCUCCAAGGCUGCCAACGGUCGGCUUCGCCAAAUAAGGAAAGAAAUCUGCACCGGACAGUGUCCGGUGGUGCACCGGACUGUCCGGUGCGCCAGGCGACAGAAGGCAAGAAUUGCCUUCCCGGAUUGCUCUCAACGGCUCCUAGCUGCCUUGGGGCUAUAAAAGGGACCCCUAGGCGCAUGGAGGAGAAGACCAAGCAUUCCUUGAGCACUCUUGAUCACUUACACUCCACUCUUGCGCACUUGUUCGACAUUCUAGUGAUUUGAGCUCCGUUCUAGUGUGCUAGUCUUGUGAGCUUAAGUCUGGGUCUUGUGUGUGCGUACUUGCUGUGAUCUUUGUGUCUUGUGUGAGUUGCUAAUCCCUCCCUUACUUUGUGCUUCUUUGUGAACAUCUUUGCAAGGGUGAGAGACUCCAAGUUGUGGAGAUUCCUCGCGAACGGGAUAUAGAAAAGAAAAGCAAACACCGUGGUAUUCAAGUGGGUCUUUGGACCACUUGAGAGGGGUUGAGUGCAACCCUCGUCCGUUGGGACGCCACAACGUGGAGUAGGCAAGCGUUGGUCUUGGCCGAACCACGGGAUAAACCACUGUGCCAUCUCUGUGAUUGAUCUCUUGUGGUUAUUGUGUUUUAUUGAGACUCCUCUCUAGCCACUUGGCAAUACUGUGCUAACGGUUAACCAAGUUUUUGUGGCAUUAAGUCCAAGUUUUACAGGAUCACCUAUUCACCCCCCUCUAGGUGCUCUCAAUUGGUAUCAGAGUCGUUCUCUUCAAGAAAGGGACUAACCGCCCGAAGAGAUGGAUCCUAAGGGCAAGGGGAUUGUGAUCAAUGACAAGGAGAAGGAGUCAUUCGUCAACGAGCCCAAGGAUGACAAGCCUACCGACUCGGGCUCGGGCCACAAACGCAAAGAUGGGAAGAAGAAGAAGACAAGACGCAUCAAGGAGAUCGUCUACUAUGACGACAGCGAUGAGUCCACUUCUUCCCAAAAGGACAACGACGACAACGACUACGAGAGAAGGAAACCGGUUAAUUCGAACUUUUCUUUUGACUACUCUCGUAUUCCGCAAAGUACAAAUGCUCAUUUGCUCUCCAUUCCACUUGGCAAACCUCCUCACUUUGAUGGAGAGGACUACGGAUUUUGGAGCCACAAAAUGCGUAGUCACCUAUUCUCUCUCCAUCCGAGCAUAUGGGAGAUUGUGGAAAGUGGAAUGAAAUUUGAUAGCUCGGAUAGUCCUAUGUUUAUCAAUGAACAGAUUCAUAGAAAUGCACAAGCUACUACUGUGUUGUUAGCCUCCUUGUGCAGGGACGAGUAUCAUAAGGUGAGCGGCUUGGACAAUGCCAAGCAGAUCUGGGACACCCUCAGGAUCUCACAUGAGGGGAACGACGUCACCUUACUCACCAAAAUGGAGUUGGUGGAGGGCGAGCUUGGAAGAUUCGCAAUGAUCAAGGGAGAGGAGCCAACCCAAACAUACAACCGGCUCAAGACCCUUAUCAACAAGAUAAGGAGCUACGGAAGCACACGAUGGACGGACCACGACGUCGUUCGUCUAAUGCUAAGGUCCUUUACUGUACUUGAUCCACAUUUGGUGAACAAUAUCCGUGAAAAUCCUAGGUACACCAAGAUGUCGCCCGAAGAAGUUCUUGGGAAAUUUGUAAGCGGACAAAUGAUGAUCAAGGAGGCAAGAUAUGUCGACGACGCGUUGAACGGUCCAAUCCAUGAGCCUCAACCCAUUGCUCUCAAGGCAACGAGGAGCAAGGAGGCGCUACCUAGCAAGGUGGCACAAGUUGAGGCGGCCGGGCUCAAUGAUGAAGAGAUGGCCCUCAUCAUCAAGCGCUUCAAGACGGCGCUAAAGGGUCGCAAGGGGAAGCCAAGCAAGACCAAGACAAAGGGGAAGCGCUCAUGCUUCAAAUGUGGUAAGGUUGGUCAUUUUAUUGCUAACUGUCCCGACAAUGAUAGUGACCAGGAAGAAGGGAACAAGAGGGAGGAGAAGAAGAAUUAUAAGAAGGCAAAAGGCGAGGCACAUCUUGGCAAGGAGUGGGACUCGGAUUGUUCGUCGUCCGACUCCGACAACGAAGGACUCGCCGCCACUGCCUUCAACAAGUCAUCCCUCUUCCCCAACGAGCAUCACACUUGCCUCAUGGCAAGGGAAAAGAAGGUAAGCGCUCGUAACACUAGUACUUAUGUUUCUUCAAGUGAGGAUGAGUCUAGUGAGGAUGAUGAAAUAGAUUAUUCAUGUUUAUUCAAGGGUCUAGAUAGAACCAAGGUGGAUAAAAUAAAUGAAUUGAUUGAUGCUUUGAAUGAUAAGAAUAGAUUGCUAGAAAAGCAAGAGGAUCUCUUAUAUGAUGAACAUGACAAGUUUGUAGAAGCUCAAAAAUCCCUUGCUUUAGAAAUAAAGAGGAAUGAAAUGCUUUCUUGUGAAUUGUCUACAUGCCAUGACUCUAUUUCUAGUUUAAAAAGCAUAAACGAUGACUUGACUGCUAAGUUAGAAAUAGCUAAUAAAUCAAUAUCUUGUGUAGAACAUGUUGUGGUUUGCACUAGGUGUAAAGAUUUUAAUAUUGAUGCUUGUAGUGAACACCUAGUUUCAAUUUCUAAAUUGAAUGAUGAAGUAGCUAGUCUUAAUUCCCAACUUAAGACUAGCAAAAGCGAAUUUGAUAAGUUAAAAUUUGCAAGGGAUGCCUACACUAUUGGUAGACACCCCUCAAUUAAGGAUGGACUUGGUUUCAAGAGGGAAGCCAAGAACUUAACAAGCCAUAAGGCUCCCAUCCCCGCCAAGGAGAAAGGGAAGGCCCCUAUGGCUAGUAGUGCUAAAAGGAACCAUGCUUUUAUGUACCAUGAUAGAAGACAGUCUAAUAAGAGUUGUAAUGCUUAUGAUGCUUUUGACUCUCAUGCCAUGUUUGCUUCUAGUUCUUCCUAUAUGCAUGGUAAAGAUAUGUCUAGGAGACAUUUUGUUCAUAUGCCUAGAAGAAAUGUUGUUAAUGUUCCUAGGAACGUUAAUGAACCUUCUACAAUAUAUCAUGCUUUAAAUGCUUCCUUUGCUAUUUGUAGAAAGGAUAGAAAGAUAGUUGCUAGAAAAUUAGGGGCAAAAUGCAAGGGAGACAAAACUUGCAUUUGGGUCCCUAAGACAAUUGUGACUAACCUUGUAGGACCCAACAAGAGUUGGGUACCUAAAACCCAAGCCUAAAUUUGCCUUGCAGGUUUAUGCAUCCGGGGGUUCAAGCUGGAUUAUCGACAGCGGAUGCACAAACCAUAUGACGGGGGAGAAGAAUAUGUUCACCUCCUAUGUCAAAAACAAGGAUUCCCAAGAUUCAAUAAUAUUUGGUGAUGGGAAUCAAGGCAAGGUAAAAGGGUUAGGUAAAAUUGCUAUUUCAUCCGAACACUCUAUAUCUAAUGUGUUUUUAGUUGAGUCUCUUGGAUAUAAUUUGUUAUCCGUUAGUCAAUUAUGCAAUAUGGGAUAUAAUUGUCUAUUCACAAAUGUAGAUGUGUCUGUCUUUAGAAGAAGUGAUGGUUCAUUAGCUUUUAAGGGUGUAUUAGACGACAAACUUUACUUAGUUGAUUUUGCAAAAGAGGAGGCCGGUCUAGAUGCAUGCUUAAUUGCUAAGACUAGCAUGGGCUGGCUGUGGCAUCGCCGCUUAGCACAUGUGGGGAUGAAAAACCUUCACAAGCUUCUAAAGGGAGAACACGUGAUAUGUCUAACUAAUGUGCAAUUCGAAAAAGAUAGACCUUGUGCAGCUUGUCAAGCAGGCAAACAGGUGGGAAGCUCUCAUCACCCCAAAAAUGUGAUGACCACAUCAAGACCUUUGGAGAUGCUUCACAUGGACCUCUUCGGACCCGUCGCCUAUCUAAGUAUAGGAGGAAGUAAGUAUGGUCUUGUUAUAGUUGAUGAUUUUUCCCGCUUCACUUGGGUAUUCUUUUUGCAGGAUAAAUCUGAAACCCAAGGGACCCUCAAGCGCUUCCUAAGGAGAGCUCAAAACGAGUUUGAGCUCAAGGUGAAAAAGAUAAGGAGCGACAAUGGGCCCGAAUUCAAGAACCUUCAAGUGGAGGAGUACCUUGAGGAGGAAGGGAUCAAGCACGAGUUCUCCGCUCCCUACACACCACAGCAAAAUGGUGUGGUAGAGAGGAAGAACAGGACGCUUAUAGACAUGGCGAGGACGAUGCUUGGAGAGUUCAAGACCCCCGAGCGUUUUUGGUCGGAAGCCGUGAACACAGCUUGCCACGCCAUCAACAGGGUCUACCUUCACCACCUCCUCAAGAAGACUUCGUACGAGCUUCUAACCGGUAACAAACCAAAUGUAUCCUACUUUCGUGUAUUUGGGAGCAAAUGCUACAUUCUAGUGAAGAAGGGUAGAAAUUCUAAGUUUGCUCCCAAAGCUGUAGAAGGGUUUUUGUUAGGUUAUGACUCAAAUACAAAGGCAUAUAGAGUCUUCAACAAAUCAUCGGGUUUGGUUGAAGUCUCUAGUGACGUUGUAUUUGAUGAGACUAAUGGCUCUCCAAGAGAGCAAGUUGUUGAUUUUGAUGAUGUAGAUGAAGAAGAAGUUCCAACGACCGCAAUACGUACCAUGGCGAUUGGAGAUGUGCGGCCACAGGAACAAGAUGAGCAAGAUCAACCUUCUUCCUCAACAAUGGUGCAACCCCCAACUCAGGAUGAUGAACGGGAGGCGUGUGAUCAAGGGGGAGCACAAGAUGUUCAUGUGAUGGAGGAAGAAGCACAACCGACACCUCCAACCCAAGUUCGAGCAAUGAUUCAAAGGGAUCAUCCCGUCGACCAAAUUUUGGGUGAUAUUAGCAAGGGAGUAACUACUCGAUCUCGAUUAGUUAAUUUUUGUGAGCAUUACUCCUUUGUCUCUUCUAUUGAGCCUUUCAGGGUAGAAGAGGCCUUGCUAGAUCCGAACUGGGUGUUGGCCAUGCAGGAGGAGCUCAACAACUUCAAAAGAAAUGAAGUUUGGACACUGGUGCCUCGUCCCAAGCAAAAUGUUGUGGGAACCAAGUGGGUGUUCCGCAACAAACAAGACGAGCACGGGGUGGUGACAAGGAACAAGGCACGACUUGUGGCAAAAGGUUAUGCCCAAGUCGCAGGUUUGGACUUUGAGGAGACUUUUGCUCCUGUGGCUAGGCUAGAGUCCAUUCAUAUUUUGCUAGCAUAUGCCGCUCACCAUUCCUUCAGGUUGUUCCAAAUGGAUGUGAAGAGCGCUUUCCUCAACGGGCCAAUCAAGGAGGAGGUGUACGUGGAGCAACCCCCUGGCUUCGAGGAUGAACGGCACCCCGACCACGUGUGUAAGCUCUCUAAGGCGCUCUAUGGACUUAAGCAAGCCCCAAGAGCAUGGUAUGAAUGCCUUAGAGACUUUUUAAUUGCUAAUGCUUUCAAGGUUGGGAAAGCAGAUCCAACUCUUUUUACUAAGACUUGUGAUGGUGAUCUUUUUGUGUGCCAAAUUUAUGUCGAUGACAUAAUAUUUGGUUCUACUAACCAAAAGUCAUGUGAAGAGUUUAGCAGGGUGAUGACGCAGAAAUUCGAGAUGUCAAUGAUGGGCGAGUUAAGCUACUUCCUUGGGUUCCAAGUGAGGCAACUCAAGGAUGGAACCUUCAUCUCUCAAACCAAGUACACGCAAGACUUGAUCAAGCGGUUUGGGAUGAAGGACGCCAAGCCCGCAAAGACUCCAAUGGGAACCGACGGACACACCGACCUCAACAAAGGAGGUAAGUCCGUUGAUCAAAAGGCAUACCGGUCAAUGAUAGGGUCUUUACUUUAUUUAUGUGCUAGUAGACCGGAUAUUAUGCUUAGUGUAUGCAUGUGUGCUAGAUUUCAAUCCGAUCCUAAGGAGUGUCACUUAGUGGCGGUGAAGCGAAUUCUUAGAUAUUUAGUCGCUACGCCUUGUUUCGGGAUCUGGUAUCCAAAGGGGUCUACCUUUGACUUGAUUGGAUAUUCAGACUCCGACUAUGCUGGAUGUAAGGUGGAUAGGAAGAGUACAUCGGGGACGUGCCAAUUCUUAGGAAGGUCCCUGGUGUCAUGGAGUUCUAAGAAACAAACCUCUGUUGCCCUAUCCACCGCUGAGGCCGAGUACGUUGCCGCAGGACAGUGUUGCGUGCAACUACUUUGGAUGAGGCAAACCCUCAGGGACUUUGGCUACAAUCUAAGCAAAGUCCCACUCCUAUGUGAUAAUGAGAGUGCUAUCCGCAUGGCGGAUAAUCCUAUUGAACACAGCCGCACAAAGCACAUAGACAUCCGACAUCACUUUUUGAGAGACCACCAGCAAAAGGGAGAUAUCGAAGUGUUUCAUGUUAGCUCCGAGAACCAGCUAGCCGAUAUCUUUACCAAGCCUUUAGAUGAGCAGACCUUUUGCAAGUUGCGUAGUGAGCUAAAUGUCUUAGAUUCGCGGAACUUGGAUUGAAUUAUAGCAUACAUGUGUUUAUGCCUUUGAUCAUGUUCCUUAUGCAUUUUGUUGUUUAUUUAUGGUGCUCAAGUUGUACAAGCACUCCCCGGACCUUUCAAGUCCAUUUGCAAGGGAUGCACAAAUUUAGGGGGAGUUGUGCUACAACUUGACCCUUUGAGACUAAUCGUGUGCUUGAGUUUGCUUGUUUUAGUCUCAAAGGAGGUUUGAAAGGGAAAAGGUGGACUUGGACCAUGAAAGACUUCCACUGCACUCCGAUGAGAGAGUAACUUAUUCCAUGUUCAUCUUAGUACUCUUAUUGCCUUUUUACUCUUAGUUCAAGAUUUUGGUGAGGCAAUGGGGUUAAAGGGCCAAGAUUGAUCUCGUUUUGGUGCUUGAUGCCAAAGGGGGAGAAAAUAAAGGCCAAAGCAAUAAAUGGAUCAGCUACCACUUGAGAAUUUUGAAAAUAAUAGAAUAGAGUUUUUGUUUUGUCAAAAUACUCUUAUUGGCUCUUUUUGUCAAAAGUUGGCUUCUUGUGGGGAGAAGUGUUGAUUAUGGGAAAAAGGGGGAAAGGGGGAGUUUUUGAAAUCUUGAAUCAAUUUUUCUUGGAAUAACUCUCUUUAUGUCUUAACAAGUGUGUUUGACUUAGAGAUAGAAAUUUGAGUUUGAUUUGCAAAAACAAACCAAGUGGUGGCAAAGAGUGAUCCAUAUAUGCCAAAUAUGAAUCAAAACUAUAUUGAGUUUUCAUUUGCAUUGAUAUUGCACUUGUUUAGUUGCUUUAUGUUGUGUUGGCAUAAAUCACCAAAAAGGGGGAGAUUGAAAGGGAAAUGUGCCCUUGGGCCAUUUCUAAGUAUUUUGGUGAUUGAGUGCCAACGCAAGCGCUUUUGUGUUGAUCUAUGCAAUGUGGUAGACAAAGUGCAAAUCAUGUCAAAAGGUACGUUUCUAGACUUAGUACAUUGUUUUAUGGACUAAUGUAUUGUGUCUAAGUGCUGGAAACAGGAAAGAUUGAAUUGGAAAUGAGAUGGCUAUGUUCUGCCAGAGUCAGCUCGGUCUGGGUGCACCAGACAGUGUCCGGUGCGCCAGACUGGCUCUUGCGAACUCGCUGCUCUCGGGAUUUCAUCGGCGGCGUACGGCUAUAAUUCACCGGACUGUUCGGUGUGCACCGGACUGUCCGGUGAGCCAACGGUCAGCCGGGCCAACGGUCGGCCGCGCGAUCCGCGCGGGACACGUGGCCGAGCCAACGGUUAGUAGGGGGCACCGGACAGUGUCCGGUGUGCACCGGACAGUGUCCGGUGCGCCAACGGCUCCAAGGCUGCCAACGGUCGGCUUCGCCAAAUAAGGAAGGAAAUCCGCACCGGACAGUGUCCGGUGGUGCACCGGACUGUCCGAUGCGCCAGGCGACAGAAGGCAAGAAUUACCUUCCCGGAUUGCUCUCAACGGCUCCUAGCUGCCUUGGGGCUAUAAAAGGGACCCCUAGGCGCAUGGAGGAGAAGACCAAGCAUUCCUUGAGCACUCUUGAUCACUCACACUCCACUCUUGCGCACUCGUUCGACAUUCUAGUGAUUUGAGCUUCGUUCUAGUGUGCUAGUCUUGUGAGCUUAAGUCUGGGUCUUGUGUGUGCGUACUUGCUGUGAUCUUUGUGUCUUGUGUGAGUUGCUAAUCCCUCCCUUACUCCGUGCUUCUUUGUGAACAUCUUUGUAAGGGUGAGAGACUCCAAGUUGUGGAGAUUCCUCGCGAACGGGAUAUAGAAAAGAAAAGCAAACACCGUGGUAUUCAAGUGGGUCUUUGGACCACUUGAGAGGGGUUGAGUGCAACCCUCGUCCGUUGGGACGCCACAACGUGGAGUAGGCAAGCGUUGGUAUUGGCCGAACCACGGGAUAAACCACUGUGCCAUCUCUGUGAUUGAUCUCUUGUGGUUAUUGUGUUUUAUUGAGACUCCUCUCUAGCCACUUGGCAAUACUAUGCUAACGGUUAACCAAGUUUUUGUGGCAUUAAGUCCAAGUUUUACAGGAUCACCUAUUCACCCCCCCUCUAGGUGCUCUCAGGCCCACGCCCACGCGUCACGCAACCGGCGCGCCGGUCGCUACGUGCAAGCGACUGCACCGCCACUCGCACCACUGCCACGCCUCCUCGACUGUGGAACCAGUACCGCGACUCGAGGCAACCCUGCGUACGACCCAGCAGUGCCAGCCAGGCGCGACGGUCAAUACGGCCAAAAAUGGGCCGGCAGUAAUGGCGGUGGCAGGCAGGCGUGAGCAGCGGUCACGUCGUCAGCCAAGCUUACGUCCCAUCCUGGGGCAGUGAGAGAACCCUCUCUCACGGCGUGAAGACGGCGCGCCCGUGUUCCAUUCCUCGAACGGCUCGCGCACGCGCAACGGCCGCUCCGCGAACUGCUCGCCCCGUCGCAUUAACUCCGCGGCGGGACAGGCGGCGCCUCUGGCAGGAGAAGCAAGCGACGCUUCGCCUUCGCCAUAAUGACCGCGUCAAAAAAGGUACGCCACGUCAUUCGAUUUCGUAUCCUUUUCCUUUUCCUCUUUCUCUCUCUUACAACAGGGACCGGGAAAGGGGGAUACCCCGAAAAGGAUCCUUCUCCAUGAAGGAAACAGGCUCCGAGCCUCCCUACUGAUCAGAGGUUCGAACGCUGGCCCCUCGGGGGGGGGGGGUUCAACAGCCGCCUCAGAGCGUGUGGGUUCUGCACCCACUACUGGUCAGAGGUUCGAAGGCCGGCCCCUCGAAAGGGUUCAACGGCCGCCUCAGGCCACUCGGGCUCCGCGCCCACUACUGAUCAGGGGUUCGUAGGCUGGCCCUCGAAGGGUUCACAGCCGCCUCAGACAUAGAGCGAGGGAUGACCCUGGGUACGUUCGAUACAUAACCGAGGCUCGGGCUAUGCUCCCGAGGUACCCUAGGACAUUUCCGAGACCAGCGGGAACGAUCUUGUAACGGAAUCCCAUCAGAGGGAGGCAUCGAGCCCUCGGACCCCGUCGACAGGGGACCGAGUCCGGCAGAUCACCCGCAGGUACUUUUGAGCGCGCCUCCGGGCCUCUAGCCGACCCCUAACAAAUGGGGCACGGGCGUCCACUCGGAUUACCCGCCAGCAGCUCACCGGAGACACCAUGUUCGGCGCCCUCCGAGGGCAACAUGGCGCUUCCCCCCCCCCUCCUCCUUGCGGAAAGGCGACGUAGGGGUGUAUGUAAAAAAGUCGAGUCUGCCCUUGACCGUCCUCUCGCCCUGUGCAGAGGCUCGGGGGCUGCUCUCGCAAACCCGGCUCCGGCCAAACCGUUGACAGCGUCAACAUACCAGCCCGAGGACUUGGGACUCGACCGUGCACCCGGGCUACGACCAGCUCGCAUGAGGGAACGACCAGACCAGCCGAAGCAUUGCGCGAGGCAUUAAGACCUCGGAGGAGUCAAACCACUCCUCCGAGGCCUCGGGGGCUACACCCGGUGGGUGCGCUCGCGCGCACCCACCGGAAUAAAACGCAACCGAGAAAGGCUAGUCCCCUUGCAAAAAAGUGCGACAAAAGCCUCCAAGCGAGUAUUAACACUCCCUUCGAGGCUCGGGGGCUACUGUCGGGGACCAUAAUUAGGGGUACCCUCAAGACUCCUAAUUCUCAGCUGGUGUCGGUGUUUUGGGUCCGACCGCACACCCGGGGUUGCCCCUCAAGGUGUUUUUAGGAGUAGGACGGUGUCGACGACUGUAGCAAAAUGGUUCGUGCCGAUCGCACGAGGGACAAUGGACGAGAUUUACAGGUUCGGGCCGCUUAGAAGUGCGUAACACCCUACGUCCUGGUGAGUUUACGAGCGUGGUUACAAGAGAAUUCUCUGGAUAGAGGGCACAGAGAGUUUUUUGUGGGUGGCUAAGUAGAACAGGGUCGAUCGAUCUGAAGGGGUGCCCCCUAGGCCUUAUAUACUCGGCCGUGGAGCAGUACAUGUGAUAUGAUAACAACAAGUAGCUAAAAGUUAGUGAACCUCUUGAGUUUAUCCCUACGUAAUCUUCGCCGACUUAUCCUCGCAUGGCUCUGUUGCAUGAGGGCUUCAGCGCGGGAAAGUCGGGUCUCUGUUAUGAUCCAUUCGUUCGACGUUGUGGGCCGCCUGUGUUUGCACUAACCAGUCUCACGUCUCCUUUGUUGGUUGUCUUUUCCUAGGCCCACGAAAGAAUGACCUUACGAAUUAUUGGGCCCUUGGGCCGUUCGUGAGGCCUUUUACUUCUUUAGUGGACCCAGGGGAUAUCUAUCCCCCACAAGCCCCCGAUCUUUGGGUUAAUUUAGAGGUAAUCAACUCAAAGAUCCAAGGUCCAAAAAAUGAUUUCCUGCUGUCUUCUCUGGUUUUGAUCACUUGUCCGACCAAAGUUUGGCUUUAUGCUUGUGCCUUAGAGGUCGGCAUUUUGGAUUGUAAGACUCCGAAAUUCAUUGGGUGCACCGGAGGUGCACCCAAUGGGUGUAGCCCCCGACCUUUGAGUAGAUUUUAGAAGAUAAUUUACUCGAAGGUCUUCUUCCAAAGGUUAUCUCCAUUCGCACUCCUGCAUCUCGGUUGAGAAUUAGUCUUUUCAAUCUUGCUCUACGCCUUAGAAGUCGGCGCUAUACCGGUUUAGAAUAAUAUUCCAUGGGGUGCACCGGAGGUGCACCCAAUGGGUGUAGCCCCCGACCUUCAAAUGGAUUUUUUAAGGAUAAUCCAUUCGAAGGUUCUCCUUUCACUUGCGGAAACUGGCAUGAGGCUAUUUUGCAUUAUGCUUUGGAGGUCAGCAGUAUGUCAUCCAUAUUUUGCUGCCCAGGUCAGCGUAUAUUUUGUCUUUAGCAGCCGAGUUUGCAAUCCAUCCAUAUCUUGCUAGGUAGUGCAAUUUAUUUGCUUCUGCGAUUGAUUGGACGUUUGACGGACGUUCUCUGUCUAGUUCUCACGUCGCUUCUGUCGGCCAUAUCUUGUACUUUGCUGGUUAUAUUUGGCUUUCCUCUGAUCCUUACUGAUAUCUCAUUUUUGUCUUGAGGUAUUCACUGCAUGCCCUGCACGGAUGUGACCGUUUGAAAAAUAUACUGAUAAUUCCUGGGCGUCCCCCCCAAUGGGUGUGGGCAAGGGACGGCUUGGUACGCUGAGUGUUUUAGCCGGUUGCCUCUGAGUAGUAAUGCGAUGGGACGGCUAGUGUAAUCAUAUCCUUUGCGCUGUUGACUGGAGUCCCAAUGGGUGUAGUGUUGCAUGAAACGGCGUCCGCCGUCUGACGUGUCUUCGGGUGGGUGGAAGUGCUUAUUGAAUGCCUUGCGACUGUUCAGUGACCGCGGUUAGAAGUGAGCGGUUGCCUUUCCCUUCUAUAAAUAACCCCUUUGCUUCUCUGGUUUCUUCAUAUCUCUUCGCUGCUCCUUACUGCCUCUUCCCUUUCUUCUCUCCCAAAGCUUUAACCAUGGGCAAGAACAACAAGCGCAAGCGUGAGCCGACUCCUCCAUCGGAGGAGUUUGGUGACUCAGAAUACUCGGAGGAGGAAUUCUCCUCCGAGCCCGAGGGGUCUCCGGCUCCCGUCUCUCCCCCGGCGUCGUCCGAUGACUCGGACGACUCCCAGCGGAUAGCCGCGGAGGUCUGGACAUAUAUCCGGGCCGUCGAGCGCGCCGGGCUCGAAGGCUCGGAUGAGUCGGAGUACUCCUCGGAUGAGGAGGACUCGGACGGCGGCGACGAGGGUGAAGACGACGACGACGACGACGAUGACGACGACGACGACGGCGACGGCAGUGGCAGAGGCGGCGGCGACGGCAGCAGGGACAGCACCAAGGGCGGCAGCAGCAGGGACAGCACCAAGGGCAGCAGCAGGGGCAGCACCAAGGGCGGCGGCGGCGGCAGGGGCAGGGCCAGUGGCUAGACGCCACUGGUCUUCUUAGAUAUUAGUAUAGUUUAGUAUAGCUAGAAUAAUGUAGUAGUAAUUAGUGUAAUUUAGUAGUAGUAGUAAUGUAGAGUAGUAUAUUGUAGUUUAGUAGUAGUAGUAAUGUAGAGUAGAAUUAGGGAAGUACCAACUCGUAAAGAGUUGGUUUGUAAACUCGUUAACUUCCCUUUAAUGAAGUCUGUCGUUUAUCCCCUCUUUUUGAUGACUUGCCAUUGCUUUUGCUGAAUGUUGAACUGAUUCUUUUGAUUUGGUAGAAACAACGCCGAGCGAUGUGAAAAUUGACAUCGGCGUUUUAGAGGUAACCCUGAGCAAUCGAACACAAGACCAGCGUUUUAGGGGCGAUGCCGAAUGAUAGAAGGUCGGCAUCGGCAUUUUAGAAGUAAUGCCAAGCGACAAAAUACGGGGCUAGCAUUUUAGAAACAACGCCGAGUGAUUAAAUGUCGGCAUCAGCAUUUUAGAAGUAAUGCUGAGCGUUUGAACACGUGGUCGGCGUUUUAGAGGCAGUGCCGAGUGAUUGAAGGUCGGCGUCGGCAUUUUAGAAGUAAUGCCGAGCGAUUGAACACGUGGUCGACGUUUUAGAGGCAACACCGAGUGAUUGAAGGUCAGCGUCGGCAUUUUUAGAAGUAAUGCCGAGCGAUUGAACACGUGGUCGGCGUUUUUAGAGGCAACACCGAGUGAUUGAAGGUCGGCGUCGGCAUUUUAGAAGUAAUGCCGAGCGAUUGAACACGUGGUCGGCGUUUUAGGGGCAACACCGAGUGAUUGAAGGUCGGCGUCGGCAUUUUAGAAGUAAUGCCGAGCGAUUGAGCUCGUGGUCGGCGUUUUAGAGGCAGCGCCGAGUGAUUGAAGGUCGGCGUCGGCAUUUUAGAAGUAAUGCCGAGCGAUUGAGCUCGUGGUCGGCGUUUUAGAGGCAGCGCCGAGUGAUUGAAGGUCGGCGUCGGCAUUUUAGAAGUAAUGCCGAGCGAUUGAGCUCGUGGUCGGCGUUUUAGAAGCAGCGCCGAGUGAUAGCCAGCUUCUCAAGUUACUUUGAGGAAAAUGACCGAGUGAUGAGGUGGCACAUUGGCUUUCUUGGAAAUAACUGUUGGAUAUCCACGUGGCAUGCUGGGAUUUCGGAGAUGACCGCCGGGUGAUGACUGGGCACUUUUGAAAAGGUGUCUUGGCUCAAGAAUAUCCCUUAAGAGUCGCGCUUUUAGCCGCCUUUGCUUUCUGUGCCCUAGUUCUUGCAUUUCCGCAUCUGAGUCUUCUCUGCCACUCGCCUCCUGCUCUGUUUCGCCAGCGAGAAACAAGAUGGCGCCCAAGAGGAAAACCGCGAACUCGUCUGCUGCAGUGAUCCCCGCCAUCGACCCCAACAGUCAGUUACCCUUCGCAGGUAACCAUAUGUCUGUGAUUUCUGAAGUUGAGCUUCUCCGCCUUGUUUCCAUCGGGGUUCUCCCUCCACGGGAACUCUGUUCUUGGCGUUCUUGCCACGGGACCACUGUCCCAACCGAAGAUACCCACGAGUCAGUGGUUUACACUCCUUUCCUUCUUCGCGGCCUCGGCCUUCCCAUAUCUCCUUUUUUCCGUGGUAUCCUUGAUUUUUAUCACAUCAACCUGACUCACUUGAACCCUAACUCCAUUCUCCAAAUCUCUAUUUUCGUUCACCUUUGCGAAGCUUAUCUUGGCGUGCUGCCGCAUUUUGGCUUGUGGAAGUAUCUGUAUCACUGCCGUCCUGGGAUGGCCGGGGGGCAACAUCAAUUGGUCGGAGGUGCCAGUUUAGAGAUGCGCCGGGGGCGGAAGACCGAGUAUCUCGAGAUACCCCUCAAAGACAGCAUUAAAGGUUGGCGUCUGGAGUGGUUUAUAAUGGAUAAUUAUGGAAAUUCUCUCCCUUCCCGCUCAGGGAGACAGGCAGACGUUCGUACUCCGAGUUGGACUGAGUCUCCCACGGACCAAGAAGUAGCCGAGGCGGGCGUGUUGCUUACUGAGGUUGGAUUACUGAAAGAGAGAGGUCUGACUGCCGAGGCCGUGGUCACAGAUUUUGUUUUCAAAAACAUUCAGCCGCUGAAAGACAGAGCUUAUCCGGCAUAUCUUUACCGAGGGCUGGCCGACUCAACCCGAGUUACUAAUAGGAGAAUUCCUUCUGUGGAUUUGGUGAGCCGACUCGAAAUGAUCCUCAGGGGUAAAGUUUCAAACGUUGGAGCUCCAGUGGCAUACUCGGCUUGGAACCUACCUUCUUCCCAAGCCUUCACUCUUUUCGUGUCCAACCCGCCCGUGACAGAUAGCAAUCUGGGUCUUAGAGUUCGACCUUCUGCUGAAGAGGUCCGUUCCUUAGUUGCUUCGCUCGGGGAGAUACCUGAUGAUGAACGGCAGAUUUAUUUUGAAGUGCCCCUGAACCCUAGUGACGCAGACAUAAAUGACAUGCUCGAUCUGCUAGCUGAGGAUUCAUCUGAUACUGCUCCUGAUGGUACAUUGGCAGUGGUGCCUCUUCCAGAAGUUGAUGCGACCUUGGAUGUCUCGAAACCUGUCAACACUCGCCCGAGGCGUCCUAGCCGAACCAGUCAGCCCGAGCCUUCUGCUGAUGAGCAGAAGAAGAAAAGAAGACGCCUCCGGCGAGUGUCCAGCUUUGACGAGGAUGCCAGCACCUUAGCUCCUGCUGCCGAAAAAAUGACUGCAACUGGCCUUGCUGACAUUGAUCUCAAUGGGUGUGCUCCGCCUGCUGCUGACCCCAAUGAGGAUGCUGUUUGUGCUGUUGCUGUGGAAGAUGAGGAGGAAGAGAAUGAAACUCCAUUAACUCGGAAAAACAGUCGGCAGUUCGUCGCUAGCGGUGGUAGUAGUGGGGUUCCUUCUCCUGCCUUGUCUGCUCUUAUUGGUCUGCAAGAACUGUCCAUGGCCAAUUUUGAUCAAGCUCUAGAGGAUAUGGUCCCUGAGAACUUGCUGUUAGAACCUGCAGACGCUGAUGUAACAGAAACUUGUGCGGCCGUGCCAGAUGCUGGGUGGAGGUCGUCCCGUGCCUCGUCGACCUUAGAGCGCGAUCUCGAGGGCCGGGAUGAUGACUUGGAUCGUCCUGAUCCUAUGGAAGUAGCUGAAGGCCCGUCGACCUUAGAGGUGGUCACGGCAGAAAGCUUGGAUCCCUUGAAUAGCGCUGACAUGUGCCCGGCCCCCGAGGGUGUCGCCGGGGAGGACUCAACUCAGGUGAGGAGUGUAGGCCACUACCCAGCCCCCGAGGGUGUUGCCGGGGGUGACCCGGCUCAAGUGGGCAGUGCCAACCCUGACCCAGCCCCCGAGGGUGUCCGAGCGGAGUCUCCCUCCUGCACUUCCAUGGAUGUUCAUGUGGGUUCACCUCCACACUCUGGCGGCAUGAUGGUGGCUCAAACUCCAGAUCAGGGGGUCGCUUUGGAGGGCAGCAUCCCCACUGGUCUGGCGUUAAGCUCUGCUGAAUGUACUGAGCUCGUUCCUGCCGGUCUGCUGCAAGCUGCUUCGAGUGGUGGUCUGGCACCUGGUCAUCAGCUGAUUUCUCCUGACUGGGGGAUCCCUUCGCUUUUCUCCAACCUCCAGGUGCUGUGCUGUGCUUUAGUUUGAUCUUUAUGUUGCAUGAAUUGUUGCCAUUAUGCUCAUCCGCUCUUCUUAUCAGGCUUUGGUGGAUGGAAUGGUCGGCCAGCUGAAGUCGUAGGGCGCUUCCCUCCCGGAGGUGGCUUCAUCUCUUGAGCGUUGGAAUCCGGUGUUGCUUCGGGGUCGUGUAUCUGAGUUGGAGGCCGCCAAUGCUGGUUAGUGUCCUUUCUUCUUCUUCUUUGUUCUUGCCCGUGGGUUGUUUUAUUUUCUGACCUCAUUUUGUUGGAAUACCUCUUGAUAGGGAUGACUCGGCAGAUCACAGUUCUUGAAGAAAAACACUCUCAAGAUCAAGCUGAAAUGGCUCGACGAUGCGCUGACUUCGAGGAGAAGUAUUCUCAAAGUCAGAUCGAGUUGAGUCAGGUCUCUGCGGCUUUGGAUGAUGCCAACGCUCUGAGUUCUUCUCUUCAUGCUCAGCUUGACUCUGAGAAGGUAGCUUACGAACCUGUGCUUCGCCUUAUCGUGCUCUUGGAUUCUGAAUGAGUUGACUUCUGCUUGUAGGAAGAAAAACGCAUCCUUGCUGCUUCUCGCGACAACUUGGACAGAUUGUACCGAGAUUCCAGCAACUCGCUGACCAUCUUGGAGAGGAGCCACCGUUUUACGAUGGAGGAGCUUGACAAUCAGCGCCGUCAACUGCAAGAAUCCUCGGACGAAGUGGCCCGCCUUACACAGUUGCUAUCGGCAAAGGACGCCACCAUCAAGGGACUCCGAGUUUCCAAGAAAUCCAUUGCUCAGGAAUUAGAAACUGCUCAGCAGGCUGUUAAAGUUGCUGAAGAAGCUGCUGUCACUUUCAAAGCUCAGCGCGAUAAGGCCCUGGACAAGGCCAUUCGGGCGGGACGGAUCUUGAUGAGAAGACCCGGCGUGGUUGUCCCUGAAGAUAUAAGAGCCGACGUGAAUGCUGCCCCUGAUUCCUCGAAUCGCCCUUCUUCGUCAGUCGUUCCUGAGAAAGACAUUGAAAAAUAAAGAAACAGUUUGCGUGCUCUGGGCGCGCAGUUAGCAUGAUCAAGUACUCGCUAGAGGUUAUCGGCUUGUCAUUCGAAUGACGCGAUUACUCCCUUAUUGUAUCAGAAUUUAUUAGUUCGCAAGUUUGUGGCUACGCUGCCCGAUGAUUCAUGAAGUUUGUUUGUGGGAUAUGGAGGUCAUCCCUUGAACUGCAUAAGCGCAAGUAUGCUAUACUGGUUUAAGCCGUCAAUUACUUUUAGCCGGUAACUUCCGUUAGUAGGGCAUAGUGGCCACCCCCGGUAGAGUAAGCGUGAGCAUGUUGCACCGCCUUAAGUCGUUGCCGACUUAAGUCGAUUGCUCCGUUUGUAGGGCAUAGUGGUCACCCCGAGUUAAGUAAGCGUGAGCAUGUUGCACCGCCUUAAGUCGUUGCCGACUUAAGCCGAUUGCUCCGUUUGUAGGGCAUAGUGGUCACCCCGAGUUAAGUAAGCGUGAGCAUGUUGCACCGCCUUAAGUCGUUGCCGACUUAAGUCGAUUGCUCCGUUUGUAGGGCAUAGUGGUCACCCCGAGUUAAGUAAGCGUGAGCAUGUUGCACCGCCUUAAGUCGUUACCGACUUAAGCCGAUUGCUCCGUUUGUAGGGCAUAGUGGUCACCCCGAGUUAAGUAAGCGUGAGCAUGUUGCACCGCCUUAAGUCGUUACCGACUUAAGCCGAUUGCUCCGUUUGUAGGGCAUAGUGGUCACCCCGAGUUAAGUAAGCGUGAGCAUGUUGCACCACCUUAAGUCGUUACCGACUUAAGCCGAUUGCUCCGUUUGUAGGGCAUAGUGGUCACCCCGAGUUAAGUAAGAAUGCAAGUCAAUCAUAAAUGAGCCAAGUAUCUUUGAAAUCUCUCUUUAUUGAUCACGUAUUUCCAUUAUACAGAAUACAUGGUCGCUUUGGUUGUUUUGAAAUACAGCUAGGGGUAGAACUUUCGGAGGUGCUCUAUGUUCCAGGAGUUCCCAACUUCCGUGCCAUCCAUUUGGGUGAGGCGAUAUGAUCCGGGACGAGUGACUUCUGCUACUAUGAAAGGUCCUUCCCAUAAGGGUGAUAACUUGUGCCGUCCCUCCCCCGUUAGAAUUCGGCGGAGGACGAGGUCUCCCAUCGAAAAGAAACGUUGCCGCACAGCUUUGUCGUGGUAGCGCCUUAGAGUCUGCUGGUAUCGUGCUGAUUGAAUCACUGCGUUCAGUCGUUCUUCCUCAAGUACGUCAAUAUCCUCCAGCCUAGUGGCUUCGGCUUCUGCUAUGCUUUCGAAGAUCAAUCUUGGCGCCCCAAACUUGAGAUCAGCAGGUAGCACUGCUUCCGACCCAUAGACCAUGAAGAAAGGAGUGUUUCCAUGCAGGGCCCGGCUAGGUUGGGUUCUCAAGCUCCAAACAACAUAAGGCAAUUCUUUUAUCCAUUUUCCUGCGAAUUUUUCAUUUUUAUCAAAGACCCUUUUUCUAAGUGCCUCCAAUAUCAUUCCGUUGGCUCGCUCAACCUGCCCGUUGGCUCUUGGAUGGGCUACAGAUGCAUACUUGAUCUGAAUGCUUUUUUGCUCGCAGAAGUCAAAGAAUUCUGAACUGGUGAAGUUGGAUCCCAAGUCAGUGAUGAUACUGUUUGGUAUCCCAAAUCUGAAUAUUAUGCUUUGUAUGUAUUCCACAGCUUUAGCAGAGGUUAAGGAGGCAAUGGGCUGAAACUCUAUCCAUUUAGUGAACUUGUCAAUUGCCACCAAUACAUGGGUGUAUCCUCCUUGAGCUUUCUUGAAAGGUCCAAUCAUAUCCAAUCCCCAGCAUGCGAAAGGCCAAGUUACUGGUAUGGUUUGUAGCUGCUGUGCUGGCAUGUGCUGUUGUUUUGACAGAUAUUGGCAAGCUUCGCAUCUCUGAACUAGCUCGGCUGCAUCAUUCUUCGCCGUCGGCCAAUAGAAUCCUGACCUGAAAACCUUCCCGACUAAUGUUCUGGAUGCUGCAUGUACUCCGCACUGCCCGGCAUGGACUUCCUCCAGAAGUUGCUUCCCGGUGGACGGGAGAACGCACUUCAUGAGGACGCCUGACGCGCCCCUCUUGUAUAAUAUCUCCCCAAUGAGUGUAUAGUGAGCUGAUUGUCUGGCAAUGCGCUCUGCCGAGUUCUUGUCAUCUGGUUCUUCUUCAUUCUUUAUAUAUUUAAUAAUCGGUUGCCUCCAGUCAUCAGAGUCUGACUCGGGUUGGUCUAUGAUGUUGCACUCUUCUAUUUGAUCCGUCGAGAUGCUCGGCUGAAGGAUUUCUUGCACGAAGACCCCGGGCGGGACUUGAGUCCGACCGGAUCCGAGCUUGGACAGUACAUCAGCCGCCGUGUUCCGAUCUCUUUCUAUAUGAUGGAACUCCAGACCUUCGAAUUUAUCUUCUAGCUUUCGGACGGCGGUGCAGUAUCUUCCCAUUGAAUCACUUGAACAAUCCCAUUCCUUGUUUAUCUGACUGAUGACUACCAGAGAAUCUCCGUACACCAUCAGUCUCUUGACACCCAGCGAUACGACGAUGUUUAAUCCGUGUAUCAAAGCUUCAUACUCGGCUGCGUUGUUAGAGGCCGGGAAUAGCAAUUGGAGAGCGUACUUGAGGUGUUCGCCUCCAGGUGCGGUGAAGAGAAUUCCUGCUCCUGCUCCCUGCAGCUUCAGCGAGCCAUCAAAAUACAUUCGCCAUACUUCUGCGGUUUCUGGAUUAUCCGGCACUUGCUGUUCUGUCCAUUCUGAUACGAAGUCGACCAGUGCUUGAGUUUUGAUGGCAGUGCGAGGUCGGAACUCGAUAUCAUGGGACCCCAACUCGCAAGCCCACUUGGCUAUUCGGCCAAUGGCUUCCUUGUUGUGAAGAAUGUCCCCUAUUGGAAAGCCAGUAACUACUAUGACUUUGUGGUCGUCAAAGUAGUGGCGCAGCUUGCGGGCAGUUAGAAGUACUGCAUAUAAUAGCUUCUGAACUUGAGGAUACUUUUUCUUCGAUGGGCCUAGAACCUCACUGAUGAAGUAGACGGGAUGUUGUACCGGGUAGGCAUGCCCUUCUUCCACUCGCUCGACUACCAACGCAGUGCUUACCACGUGAGUCGUGCAAGAGAUAUAUAGCAGCAAAUCUUCAGCUGGCUGAGUCGGCGUAGCUCGCCGGGGCGGUUUCAAUACUGGCGGUGUUGUCAGGAAUUUCUUCAGUGCGUCUAGAGCUUCCUGUGCCUCUGAAGUCCAUUGAAACUUAUCCACCUUCUUCAGCAAUUUAUAAAAUGGCAAACCUUUUUCUCCCAGCCUGGAUAUGAAUCUGCUCAGGGCUGCCAUACAUCCAGUGAGUCGCUGAACUUUCUUUUGCGAUCGAGGAGCUUCCAUCUUCAUGAUAGCUUCAAUCUUAUCUGGAUUAGCUUCAAUUCCCCGGUGGCUGACAAUAAAUCCGAGUAACUUUCCUGCUGGUACCCCGAAAACGCACUUUUCAGGAUUAAGUUUCCAUCUAUAUCUUCUCAGGCUGUUGAAAACCAGCUGUAAGUCUUUGAUGAAGUUUUCCGGAUUCUCCGUCUUGAUCACCACGUCGUCUACGUAAGCCUCCACACGCUUGCCCCAGUGAUCGGCUAAGCAUGUUUGAAUAGCUCUCUGAUAAGUCGCUCCAGCGUUUUUGAGGCCGAACGGCAUGGAGGUAUAACAGAAAGCACCAAACGGGGUGAUAAACGCCGUUUUUUCCUCGUCUUCUUUUGCCAAACUAAUCUGAUGAUACCCGGAAUAGCAAUCUAAGAAAGACAGCAUCGAACAUCCAGCGGUGGAAUCCACCACCUGAUCUAUCCUCGGGAGCCCGAAGGGAUCCUUCGGACAGUGUUUGUUGAGAUCAGUAUAGUCGACGCACAUGCGCCAAUCCACUUUAUUCUUUUUGAGUACAAGAACAGGGUUGGCUAACCACUCGGGGUGUAAUACUUCUCUAAUAAAUCCGGCCGCGACCAAGCGGGCUAACUCGGCACGAAUGGCUUCUCUCUUGUCGGGCGUGAAACGACGCAGCUUUUGCCGGAUCGGCCUCGCCUGGGGAUAGACCUUCAAUUUGUGCUCGGCCAGUUCUCUUGGGACUCCCGGCAUAUCCGCAGGUUGCCAUGCGAAUACGUCUCGGUUAUCUUGCAGGAACUGGACGAGCGCGCUUUCCUAUUUGUCACUCAGACUGGAGCUGAUGAUGGCCGUCUUGCGCUCAUUAGCGAACCCCAGGUUGAUCCGCUUGGUGUCCUCAGUCGGCCGCAUAGAGGUCGCGGCCUGAGCUUCGUUUGCCGGCACGGCGAGGUCUUCUUCAGGCUUAGAGUUCGCCGGUGUAGAAGGAACCGCUGAUGGCUUGGUGGUGAGGGCUGCUUGGAUGGCCACUCGGAAGCAUUCUGCGGCGCCUUGGAAGUCGGCGCGUACAGUUAUGAUUCCUUGCGGCCCUGGCAUCUUUAGUAUCAUGUACGUAUAGUGUGGGAUGGCCAUGAAUUUGGCUAGCCCCGGCCUCCCGAUGAUGGCGUUGUACCCGCAGUCGAAGUUCGCCACCUCGAACCUCAGGAACUCGGUUCUGUAGUUAUCCGGAGUCCCGAAGGUGACCGGCAUGUAGAUGUGGCCCAGCGGGUAUUCCCCUUCCGUCGGCACGAUGCCGAAGAAAGGAGUGUCCGACUCGUGGAGCUCUUUGAGGUGAACUCCCAAGCCUUGGAGCGUGCGGGGGAAGGUGACAUUGAUGCUGCUCCCCCCGUCCACUAACACCUUCUUCACCCGGCUCUCUCGGAUCACCGGAUCGACGAGGAGCGGGUAUUUGCCUGGGUGGUCGAAGUUGAGCCAUUGAUCCUCCCGAGUGAACGUGAUUGGGUGCUCCGACCACCGGUACGGGGCGGGAGGGCCGGUGGUCGCCACCAGUAUCUGGCGGUCGUUGAGCUUUUGUUGUCUCUUGUUCUCCUGCGACCCAUGUCCGCCGAAGAUGACGUUGACCUCCCUGUCAACGCGCGGGAAAGCUCCUCCUCCCCCCUCCUCCGGCUGAUGGGGCUGUCGUGGUUCAUCUGGUCCUCCCCUCGGCGGAGGAGGUGGUAGAGGUUGAAAGGGUCGGCCAUGCCCGACGGAGUGCUUGAAAUCCCGGCAGUUGCGGAGAGUGUGUCGCAUGUCCUUGUGGUAUGGGCACUGGGCGUCGAGGAUGUCGUCCAGCGUGCGUUCGCCUCCACGAGGUCCUCCUCGGGCACGAGAGGCGGGUGGUCCGGCGGCGUGUACCUCUUCGCGAGGCCUCUUCUCCCAGCGCUUGUCGGGCGGCUGGUUCGCGUCGCGUCGUGGUGCCGCCGGCGCGGGCUUUGCUCCUCCGAUGAGGUCCUGGGCCCGCUCGUCAGCGGUGAUGUAGAGGUCGGCUUCCCGGAACAGCUCCUCGGAGGUAGUCGGCGCCUUUUGCAGUAUGGCUCGGACGAAAGCCGAGUCGUUAGAUCCCCUGUAGAAGUCCUCGAUUACGGCCGCCUCCGUGACCUCGGGGAUGCGGUUUCUCAUGGUCUGGAACCUUUUAAGGUAUGACCGGAGAGUCUCAUCCCCCCGGCGCUUGAUGGAUUUGAGGUCCCAUGGUUGCGCUGGCUUGUCGGAGAGAGACUGGAAGUUGGCGGUGAAACGUCGACUGAAGUCUCCCCAGUCGUCGAUGCAGUGUCGGGGUAGAUGUCGUAGCCACUGCAGCGCGUCUUGCCCGAGGACGAUGGGCAGAUACGCAGUCAUGACGUCCUCGGAUGCCCCGGCAGCCCGAGCAGCGGUGGUGUAGACGGCCAACCAGCCCCCUGGAUCCUGCUUAGGUUCAUAUUUGUCGACAUUGGAUACCUUGAAGUUGGGAGGCCAUUGGAUGGCCCUAAGGCGCGGAGUAAGGGCAGAUACUCCGCACGUGUCCUCCUGUCGUCGAGGAUGUCGUCUGUCCUGGGGAGGGGAGUGGCGGUGGUGGUUCCUCGACCGUCCCCGGGUGGUUCCACCAGUUGAAGCUGUUGCCGACUCAGUUCGGGUGGCCUGGCUUUGAGUCGGGAAGCCAUGAUCUCGGUCAUACUCCUCCCGACGGCGAAUUUCGUUCUCGUGCCGCCGUUCGCGCGAAGCAUUGAUAGAGCUCCGCGCGUCUCGGCGACUGUUGAUGGCGUGUCGCAGAUCGUUCGGCGGGUGAGCGAGCGGUAGAAGAUGGUUGGCUGCCUGAGUGAACAGGCGCCGGUAUCCCUCGGCGUCGGGGGUCCGAGGAAGUCCGUCAGCUAUCCGGGCUAGAACGCCUCCGACCUCGCUCGGCGUGUUCAUAGCUCGGGCGAAGUCAGGGUUCAAGUUGCGCCCGAAGAGCGGAUUCUCGCGUCGUUGCCUUGCGUCUUGCUCGGCUUGCUCCUGAGUCCGACGGCGAUCACGUCGUCGGGAGUUCCUUCGUUCCCUGAAGACGCGUUCUUCCGGAGUUUCUCCUAUCUCUGAGACCUCGUCUCGCGAGACAGGCUGCUCCGGAUCCCGUUCUCCAGCUGCGUGAUGUCGUCGAACGUUUCUGCGUCGGUUCCUUCGUCGGCGGGAUUCUCGCUGAGGCGGUUCUUCUCCGGGCGCGGUCGGUUCAUCGUCGGAGACGGCGAGCGACUCUGCCCUCCCGAUGAAGAGGACGUCGGGGUAGAACGGUAUUGCUGCCGCGGCGACUUUCUUUCCGUUCUCCUUUGAGGUCGGGGGAACGGGAAGAACGACCGGCCUCUCCCUGAUCUCCUUCCUUCUCAUGAUCUGUGUCCAUUCUUUCGUCGGGGAAGUAGACAGCGGAGUCUUCCGGGUCAGCGAGCUUCUAGCUCCAGCCUCCCCGGAGACGAUCUUGUUCCAAAGAGCCGGAGGUAGCGUCUUUCCAGCAUUUUCGGAGUUUGUUGGAGGAGACUUCUGUUCCGGCAGAUCCGCGAGGCGGUGUAGGAUUCCUUCUUCGUCCGCCACGGAUGAGAUUGUCCCGAAGCAGAAUAUGGAUCCGGGACGCAUGGUGAUCUUGCUGUGGAAGGUGACGGCCAUUGAGCUAGCUUGGAUCGUCGACACACCCCCUACCUGGCGCGCCAGCUGUCGGUGUUUUGGGUCCGACCGCACACCCGGGGUUGCCCCUCAAGGUGUUUUUAGGAGUAGGACGGUGUCGACGACUGUAGCAAAAUGGUUCGUGCCGAUCGCACGAGGGACAAUGGACGAGAUUUACAGGUUCGGGCCGCUUAGAAGUGCGUAACACCCUACGUCCUGGUGAGUUUACGAGCGUGGUUACAAGAGAAUUCUCUGGAUAGAGGGCACAGAGAGUUUUUUGUGGGUGGCUAAGUAGAACAGGGUCGAUCGAUCUGAAGGGGUGCCCCCUAGGCCUUAUAUACUCGGCCGUGGAGCAGUACAUGUGAUAUGAUAACAACAAGUAGCUAAAAGUUAGUGGACCUCUUGAGUUUAUCCCUACGUAAUCUUCGCCGACUUAUCCUCGCAUGGCUCUGUUGCAUGAGGGCUUCAGCGCGGGAAAGUCGGGUCUCUGUUAUGAUCCAUUCGUUCGACGUUGUGGGCCGCCUGUGUUUGCACUAACCAGUCUCACGUCUCCUUUGUUGGUUGUCUUUUCCUAGGCCCACGAAAGAAUGACCUUACGAAUUAUUGGGCCCUUGGGCCGUUCGUGAGGCCUUUUACUUCUUUAGUGGACCCAGGGGAUAUCUAUCCCCCACAGCUGGUAACCCCCAUCAGCACAAAGCUGCAAAGGCCUGAUGGGUGCGACUAAGUCAGGGAUCGGUCCAUUCGAGGGAGUCGAUCACGCCUCGCCCGAGCCCAGCCUCGGGCAAGGGCAGCCGACCCCGGAGGAUCUACGCCUCGCCCGAGACCCCCCUCCAGCGACGAACAUACUUCCGGCUCGCCCGAGGCCCAGUCUUCGCCAAGAAGCGACCCUGGCCAAAUCGCCACGCCAACCGACCAAAUCGCAGGGGCAUUUAAUGCAAAGGUGGCCUGACACCUUUAUCCUGACGCACGUCCUCCAGUCGACAGAGCCAAAGUGACCGCAGUCACUUCGCCGCUCCACUGAUCGGCCUGACGGAAGGACAACGUCGCCUGCGCCGCUCCGACUGCUGUGCCACUCGACAGAGUGAGGCUGACAGGCAUCCAGGCCCGGCCUCGGGCACCAUAGGAAACUCCGCUCCGCCCGACCCAGGGCUCGGACUCGGGCUCAGCCCCGAAAGACGGCGAACUCCUCUCCGCCCGACCCAGGGCUCGGACUCGGGCUCAGCCCCGGAAGACGGCGAACUCCGCUUCGCCCGACCCAGGGCUCGAACUCGGGCUCAGCCCCGGAAGACGGCGAACUCCGCUCCGCCCGACCAAGGGCUCGGACUCGGGCUCGGCCCCGGAAGACGGCGAACUCCGCUCCGCCCGACCCCAGGGCUCGGACUCGGGCUCAGCCCCUGAAGACGACGAACUCCGCUUCGCCCGACCCCAGGGCUCGGACUCAGCCCUGGCCUCCGCCGACGGUCUCUGCCUCGCUCGACGCAGGGGCUCGGACUCGACCUCGGCCUCGGAAGACAGACUCGACCUCGACCCCGGAGGAGCCUCCACAUCGCCCAACCUAGGGCACGGACCGACCACGUCAACAGGAGGCGCCAUCAUUACCCUACCCCAAGCUGACUCAGGCUACGGGGAACAAGACCGGCGUCCCAUCUGGCUCGCUCCGCCAGACAAGUAAUGAUGGCGCCCCGCACGCUCUAUGACGACGGCGGCUCUCAGCCCCCUUACGGAAGCAAGAGGACGUCAGCAAGGACUCGACAGCCCCGACAGCUGUCCUUCCGCCAGGCUCCAGCGCUCCUCCGACGGCCACGACACCACACGAACCGGGUGCCAAAACCUCUCCGGCUGCCACGAUGGCAUGUACUUAGGGCGCUAGCUCUCCUCUGCUAGACACGUUAGCACUCUGCUACACCCCCAUUGUACACCUGGAUCCUCUCCUUACGCCUAUAAAAGAAAGGACUGGGGGCCUCUUACAGAGGGUUGGUCGCGCAGGGAAGAGGAUGGGACAGGCGCUCGCGUGAGGCCGCUCGCUCCCCUCCCGCGUGGACGCUUGUAACCCCCUACUACAAGCGCACCCGACCUGAGCGCGGGACAAACACGAAGGCCGCGGGAUUUCCACCUCUCUCUCGCUCCGGCUGCCCUUUUCCCCCCUUCGCGCUCCGUCUCGCGCCGACCCAUCUGGGCUGGGGCACGCGACGACAUUUCACUCGUCGGCCCAGGGACCCCCCAGUCUCGAAACGCCGACACCACCCCACAUAUAUGUUGAAUAAAUAUUGUUCUGCUAUGUAAUAUAUCUGACAAAUGGCAUGAAUUAAAAUAUGUAGUUAAUAGGAUUCUGAAGAUCCGUCAUGAGAUCCUAUGAGGAUUCAUAUCUUUGAUUUAUAAAUAUACAACAUAUAAAUCUCAUACCGGACAAUACAUUCCUGAUGAAUGACCACUCUCCAGUGUAGAGAGAAUAUCUCAUAGUUGAGAUUAUAGUUCCCAACUGGAACCUUCAAAGAGGAAACAAAGUCUAUGUUCAACAACAAAGUUUGAUAACCCCAAUAAAGGGAUAAAGACCCAUACAGACAUGAAAAAGAAUAAGAUGAGGUACCAAAGGACUUGAAGUUCACCGAAUAAGCACACGUGCAUUCCACGAUCUUUACUCAUGGUAUUUUCCACUAGAUGUGGAAUUACGGUAUCCUCUAAAGCCCCGGUAGCAGAAACCUAUAAGGUUUAGGUUUUAAUGGCAAAAUAUCCCCAUUGUGUCAAAAUGACAGACUAUAACAAUAUAUCUGAUCCAUGAAAAAUCCCUGAUGGAUUACUAUCUGAAAGGGAAUUAGGCUUACACCUAGUUCCUAAAUAAUUUUGGUGGUUGAAUUGCCCAACACAAAUAAUUGGACUAACUAGUUUGCUCUAGUGUAAAAGUUAUACAGGUGUAAAAGGUUCUCACUUAGCCAAUAAAAAGAUCAAAUAUUGGAUUCAACAAAGGAGCAAAGGGAUAACCGAAGGCACCUCUGGUCUGGGGCACCGGACUAUCCGGUGUACACCGGACAGUGUCCGGUGCACCACCGGACAGUGUCCGGUGCACCAGAGGACUCCAACUCAAACUUGCCACCUUCGGGAAUUUCCAGAGACACUCGGCUAUAAUUCACCGGACUGUCCGGUGUACACCGGACAGUGUCCGGUGCUCCAAGGAACAGCGGCCUCCAGAACUCGCCAGCCUCGGGAAAACGCAGCGGCUGCUCCGCUAUAUUUCACCGGACAUGUCCGGUGUACACCGGACUGUCCGGUGAACCAGCAGGGCAACGGCUACUCCGCGCCAACGGUCGCCUGCAACAGCAAUUAAUGCGCGCCAGAGCGCGCAGGCGUCAGGCACGCCCAUGCUGGCGCACCGGACACUCUACAGUACAUGUCCGGUGCGCCACCGGACAUCCAGGCAGGCCCAGAAGUCAGAGCUCCAACGGUCGGAAUCCAACGGCAUUGGUGACGUGGCUGGCGCACCGGACAUGUCCGGUGUGCACCGGACUGUCCGGUGCACCAUACGACAGACAGCCUCCACCAACGGUCAAGUUUGGUGGUUGGGGCUAUAAAUACCCCAACCACCCCACCAUUCAUUGCAUCCAAGUUUUCCACUUCUCAACCACUUACAAGAGCUAGGCAUUCAAUUCUAGACACACCAAAGAGAUCAAAUCCUCUCCAAUUCCACACAAGGUUUUAGUGAUUAGCGAGAGAGAUUUGCCGUGUUCUUUUGAGCUCUUGCGCUUGGAUUGCUUCUUUUCUCUCUCACUUGUUCUUGUGAUCAAAACUCCAUUGUAAUCAAGGCAAGAGGCACCAAGUGUGUGGUGGCCCUUGCGGGGAAGUUUUGUUCCCGGUUUUGAUUUGAGAAGAGAAGCUCACUCGGUCCGAGGGAUCGUUUGAGAGAGGGAAGGGUUGAAAGAGACCCGGCCUUUGUGGCCUCCUCAAUGGGGAGUAGAUUUGCGAGAACCGAACCUCGAUAAAACAAAUCCACGUGUCACACUCUUUAUUUGCUUGUGAUUUGUUUUGCACCCUCUCUCGCAGACUCGCUUUUAUUUCUAACGCUAACCCGGCUUGUAGUUGUGUUUAUAUUUGUAAAUUUCAGUUUCGCCCUAUUCACCCCCCCUCUAGGCGACUAUCACUAUCUUUGAUGGACUUUUGUUACACCAUCUUAAUUGUUGCAAUGGAUGAACGCCUGUAGCGAUGUGUCAUAUUUAGAAUAUGUACUAUUGCAACUAUAUUAUCCCCUAAAGUCCUAUAGAAGGACAUGUUACUUGCUUUGCACAACUAUGUAUGAAUUGUGGUGUAAGAUAGAAAAUUUUAGCACCCCAACUCAUCCAUUCUCGUUAUUCCAGAUGAACAAUGAGACAUAUAUCUUAAAGAAUAUGCUUGAGUUAUGAGGGAUAACGACUUUGACAAAUAUCAUCGUUAGGGGGAGCGAAUGCUUAUAUUGAUCACAAUCGUGAGACAAUAAAUGUCAUAUUCUAUGCCCUGAAGGAAUCAACUUGAUGAUCAAUAUGUGAACCUUUAUGGAAGUUUCUAUCAAAUAUAAAGAUCGAGUCGAUCAAACACCACCAGCCAUAGUGGCUUGUUAUGUUGAUACAUGUACUUACCUCGUAUAUCCUAGAAGUGAGUAGAGGUGAAGUUCUUGAUAUAAUCCUUGCAACAGUAUGCAAUCUGUUUGCUAAAUCUCUAUGUGCGUAUACUUCCAGAAGAAGAUGUUGUGCCAUAUUGAUACGGGUUUGUAAGGAUCAGGAGAGCACAUUUCUAAAUUUAGCCCUUGUAGAAGAUUCGAUGGAAUCCUGAUCCAGAAGAUCGAAAUUUGUCUUGAUGACAUUUGCUGUACUCUUUUUCCUUAGUGAGUUUUUCUGAAGUUUCUCACAUAAGGUUUUUAAUGAGGCAACAAAGUGCAAAUGCAAAUUGUGUCACCAUGUACUCUUUCUCCAUAUUUUUCCCACUGGGUUUUUGGGAGUUUUAAAGAGGCAUCUGUUGGUCGCGGUAUUCGCCCAAGGGGGAGUGUUAAGUAACCCUAGUUAGAGUUAUGUGGGCAAAUACCGAUUUUGCCCCUGAGGGGUCUCAUAUCUCUAUACAAGGAACCUGUACACCCCUUUCAUAUGACAGAGAUAAGAAAGACGCAAGAGGCCCUACCAUAUAUCAUGUGUCUCGUGUGUUUCCUCUGUCGUGCUUAUGGGAAGGGAGACGGGUUCUCUACAGCUUCUUGCGCCUCUACUGCUGACGGGAGGGAAGAGAGCGGAUCUGGUGAUCCGUGGUAACGUAGUUCUUAACAGGUCCAAAAGAGACAAAUAAGUAAACUAAAAUUGUUAGAAAACUAGGUACUGCUAGUGAAGCAACAUGGGCCGGCCGGCGAAGAAAGGACCUACUAGCAGGCUAGCAGCGACGACCGAUACGACCCAAAGCCCGCAAGGCCGCAACGUACCCCACUUUCUAUCGGCCUCCUCAUCCGCGCUGGAGGCGUCACGGCCCACCCCUAAUCUGGCCUCGCCACGACCUGCCCACCACUUCAUGUCCUCUCUAGCCGCUGCCGACCUGUCCUGGCGCUGGCGGUUGUGCGGCCGCCGCCUACCUCCCACACUCACACGGCCCACACGCCAUGCGGCCCAUGCCGCCGCAGCCUCACACUCGCACUGCCUCCCAUACUCACAUGGUCACACGCCAUGCAGGCUAGGCCUAGCACUCGCACCACCACCUGGCGCGACGUUGGGUGGGUGCUCCCGUGCGUCGGUGCCUCGCACUCGCAGUCGCAGUUCAUCUGCAUGCCGACCACGAACUGGUCCGCGUACACGGCGUUAUGUUUUUCCUCCUUUUUUCUCUUCGCGUCGCACAUGCAAAAGGAAAAAAAAAAUCCCGCCGACACACGCUGGCUCUGCGUUGACACAGCAAGAGGGAAAACCAUCCAGAUCGCAGCCAGCAGCUGUCCGAAUUCUCGAUUCAGAAGAGCAGCCUCCAGCCAUCUGACGCAAGAGUGGCUGCUGGACGAGGCGUCCUAGGUUUGUCGUGAACACUUGUUCGACGUCGUUGGGAGGGGACGGGACGAGUGUUCUCUGUUUCGCAAAACCGAUUCCAAAACUAAAACGCAGGCAGGCGCUCUGUGUGCUGCCGUGUGCCCUUGACCCGUUUGUGGUGCGGAGGGCACUACCAAAUGUGACGUCAACAAAGCAGCCAUGGGACUUUUUGAAAGAAAAGGAAUGCUGUCUGCUGCUCGUCCCGUAAGACUGUGUACAACGGGCGACGCUUGCGUCCCCCUCCCCUAUUACUGUAGCACAGAUAGGGGCUACAGUGGCCCUCUAUCCCCUACACCGCCUUCCUCUUCCUCCUCCUCUCCCCCUCCCGAUUUCUUCUCUCUCCCGCUAAAUGGAUGGGGACGCUACGGCGGAGACCUUCCCCCCAUCCGCUUCCUUCGCACACAAGCGCGCGCGCUCGGAAUACUCCGACGAAGGAGGUCGAGCCGAUCCGUGGGCGAACCAACCGCCGGCGGACAAGGUACGCGUCGAUCCGCCGUCUCCCCCGAAUCGUUUGUCUGCGUCCGGCCGGCGAGCAGAAGUCGGGUUCGUCCACGCGAAUCCGCCUUCAUCCUUCCCGGACCGGCGACCCGGCCGAUCCGUGUGAAGACGUCGGCGCCGCUCGUCUCUGUCCGCCGGAACGUCAGCUGCGGGGUCGAGGUCGAAGGGAGGUCAUCCAUUCUCCGAUAGAUCUACGCUCAGCCAAUCUGCUUCAUUCGAGCUUCAAGGUCCAAGGUACGCUUCGUCGCAUCUCCAAGGUCUACACCUCGGAUUGAUCCGAGUUCCUUUAAAAUCGUACCUUGGAUUACCAUUAGGGUUUAGAUGUACUUUACUUCUUUCUGCGCUACGAUUUAUGUGUUCAUCGCCUACUUUAACUAGUUAGGGUUGUGGUUAAGGCCGACAUCCGAUUCGCCUAUUGUUUAUGUACACCAACCAAGUUUCAUAUUGUGGUACACAUAGAUCUCAACCUAUCCUCAAUCACGUAUUGGUAACUGAUCCGUGGUAAUGAAGUAAAAAAUUUAUACUACGCUACAUAGGAAACAAUAUUGAGACUACAGUGUCAUUUGCAUAUUCGUCGUCCUCGUUUAUUUAAGAUUGUGUACCCACCAAUUUGUCCAUUGUCAAUUGAUUUAAGAUUCCUGUGGAUUCUAUGUUGUUUGCUCAAUGUUGCUGGGACAGAAUUGCAUGUUAAUGUUGAUAUUCGAAGAACUCUGUAGCAUUACCGUUGAAAAACCCCAACAGAACACCUUGUUCCUUCCAUAUCGAUUACUUUCAAUUGGACUUAGUUCGUGUGGCUACGAAAUGGACUCAGUGACCCUUGAAUUUCGAUUAGUCUUGCAUUACAUGACCAACCAUUGCAUGCAACUAACGAAACCUUUACUUAUUAUGCAGCUUGAUUAAAAUAUUUGAUUGUUUGACGUCCUCUUCAACUAAUUGAGGUUCUAAAUUCUUUUUCGCUAUAGUACAUUGUUUUUUAUCAAUUGCAUAAGUCUGUCUCCAUGAUUUCUGUCUGUGGUUUCAUGUAUUAUGUGCAACUAUAGGUUAUUAGAUGCAACCCACAUACGUGCGAAAGCCACGAUACAUGUGUAGAAAUACUUAACCAGUGCAUAACAUUUCAAGCAACAGUUCUUUGCUAACAGCCAUCACCAGAUUAGUUCACUACAUUGAAAAAUUAGUUUAUUAUAUUGCAACCCAUAGAUGUUUCCUAACUGCCAUGAACAAUUUAAUUUGACCAAUUAGGAACAAGACUGCACCUAAUUUUUUCAUGUAUGCACCUUGUCUAGCCAAGGAGGUCCAGGUUGAGGAUACGAAUCAAGAUGAGCACCCAUGAUGCCAAAGUGUUGCAACACUUGGUCGUCAAUCUUGCAUCCUCUGUGGAAUCUGGUGCUUUCAAUAUUAGAAGCUUUCUAGAAGAGGCUUUCCGUCAUUUGGGUGACGAGCAUU